RNAcentral lists this long non-coding RNA (66948 nucleotides) under Malus domestica (apple). Its description in RNAcentral is "long non-coding RNA (MDOM_LNC008499)". Lineage: Eukaryota; Viridiplantae; Streptophyta; Magnoliopsida; Rosales; Rosaceae. The record is from RNAcentral.
UAGUUCAUAUGAGCAUGAAUAUUGGAGCUAAAAUUUGGUGCCAUGACUUUGGGGAUUUUCGGCCAAAUCCUAAGGGUGGAUUUUUGGGUUCUUGUUUGACUUGUUAAAAGUGUUUUAAGGUGACUUUUGGAACCCCUAUGUACCCUAGUUUGGUUAGAUGUUAUUUUCCUAAAGUUUGAAUGGUUUUGGAAUGUUUUUGGGUGAAAAAUGUUCAUGGAAAAUUUUGAGUUUUUUCAUGAAUGUUCUUCAUUGUUCUUGACAUUUUUUUGCCAAGAACAAAAAGGUUUGUGUGUUUUGAUUCAAAGUUUUGAUUUAUUUCAUAAAGUCUUUGUUUUGUGCUUUAUCAAAUGUUUUAAUGUGAUAGAAAUUGUGUAAGGUGAUGGAAAUGAUGAUAGGUGUGUAAGAAGUACUUCUCUUACACACACAUCACUUGCAUGACUUUAAGUCACAUACCACUUGCAUGAAUUUAUGUCACAAAUUCCACUUGCAAGGCUUUAUGAAAUUGUUGAAAAAAUUUCCAAAUUUUUGUGGACUUAUCUCCACUCCCUUUCCCUCUCUAAAAACCGGCCCUCCCUCAAUUGGAGUACUUUUGGGUCUUUUAUGCAAUUACAUAAAGUUUUGAUACUUUUGUGUAUUUUCACUUUGUCCCAAAAGUUUACGUUUUUACGUUUAGGUCCAAAAACGCUAAAGGACAAAUUGUUUUGCUCCUUUAAUGAAGUUUUUGCAUUGAUUAAAUUUUGGGUUCUAGUGUAAUUACAUGAAGUAGUGGACUUUUGUGUCUUUACAAAGUGACCCUAAAAGUUUAGCAAUAUAGCCCAAAAGUUGAGGUUAAUUGCUUUAUGGCCCAAUAAGUUGUGGUUAUUGCAUAUUGGCCCAAAUUAGAUAGAGAACAAAAUUGUUUUGUCUCUUUAAAUGAGAAUUGGAUUUUCAUUUUGUUUAGCUCCAUUUAAAUCAAUUUUAUGGAUACAAAAACCAAAUGAAAAUGUUGCAUUCAAUUUAAUUAGUUAAAGUGUUAAUUAAUUAAAGGGUGAUUAUGAACCUAAGCCUAAUAUAAUUGAGCUAUGUGAUAGGCCGUUUCAAAUUUGUUUGAACCAUGGGAAUGUGUAGAUUAGAUUUUGGUUGUAAUUUGAUUUGAUCAAAUGUUGUAAAAGGGCUUAAGCUCUUCUUUACUUUAAAGUAAUUUGUUUUAUGCAAAGGUUCAUAGUCAUCCUAAGGCCCUAAGGCAACUAUAUAGUCCAUCAAAUGAAUGCAAAGGUUAUGUUAGUAGUAUAAUAUACUCUUGCUUUAAAAACGUUUUAUAAGCAUAGUGGGAGUAUUAUAUACAACUAAAAACAAUCAUAUGGACCAAUAGUUGUAAUAGGACCAAAAUUGUUUUAAUAGAGAUUAAAAUGUAUGAUUAUAUGUGAUGAGACCUAAAACCCUCAACCAAACCAUUAUUAAGUUGAUAAGCGUGAGAGUGCUUUGAACACUCUUUCGUGGCCUUCCACCGUGGUAGGCUCCGAUCGUAUGUGACUCGUACACCGGCUUCACCCUAUAAUGGGGGAGUACAAAGUGCGUGCUUACACUCAGGAGGAGUUCUAUAUACAUACAUGAUGAAGUGAGGUAGGCAACGAGUUUAGCCAACAUGAUAUAAUUCUGAGGCUAUGCUUGAACCCCUACACGAACUAGGCAUGGUGGGAAUGACUUAACUAAGUGCAAUGACGCCAACAUGAUAUAAUUCUGAGGCAUCAUUCUCUAGAGGCCAAAAUAAGAUGGGUACUUGCAAGAGAUGCAAAUGAGUAAGCGUACUCUCUCAUUAUUAUUAACGCUAGCCAACAUGAUAUAAUUCUGAGGUGGGCUUGGUAAUAGUGAGUCUCCCAUACCCCUACUAAGAGUUUCAUCCAAAACUCUCGAAUUCCAAUGAGGGAUAUGGAAUUUGCCAAAAAAUAGUGGGUGGUGCUAUUUGAUUUAAAGACCCGAAUCAAAUGGCUUAAAAAUCAAUCAAUUUAUAUUCGUUAUGUAUUUGUUUACCAAUAUAUUUUGCAAACGCUAUCCAACACUUGACAAAUAAAAGCCGAAAGUUUAGUUUCCGGACUUGGUACUACAAAACCAUAGAUUGUCUUUAAAUGGCUUGUAAAAUGUACCUAAGUAGUCUCAUCCUCACAAUCUUCCUAUUGAUAAUGUAUCAUUGGAAGAAAAUGUUAGAUAAAGGUCUAUCAUAAAGAGGACAACACUUUUAAUGUCAUAAUUCUUCAAUUACAAAUCGUUGUUGUAUGAAGAAAUAAGAGUUGCUUUUGAACAACCCUUAGUCAAUGCAAACACUUAGUGCUUGUUUCUUUGUUACAUGAACAAGGAACUUGAGAAGAAAGCACAAAGGCAUGGACACUUAAUGUGCCAUGAUUCUUCACUUACAAAUUGUUGUAUGAAGAAAUGAGAGUUGCCUUGUACAACUCUUGAAAGUUUGUAAUUAUGUUUAGAACAUAAUGGUUGGUUGACAAAAAUAGUCCAUCAACAUGGACUUAUGAUGAUUUUGAAUCAUUGAGUGUUGAAGUGAUAAACCACUUAACGAGACGGAAACUAGGCAAGGACUUCACCUUUGUUUCCCUAUCCUAAUGGUUCACUAAGUUUAUUGUAAACUAUGUAGUGAACAAUAACCACAAGCUCUCCAAAUUGUUUGAUGUGUAUAACACAAUUGAAAAAGGUUUCAAGAGAGAUAGUGGGAGUUUAGGGACCAUGACUAAUGUAGUCAAAGGUGAAAGUCAAAUAAAGAAGUUAAAAAUUAACUCCAAGGGAACAAACUUUCUUUAUGAAAGGAUGGACAUUGGAAGGGGUAUUUGCAAGAAAUGUCUUGCAAGUGUCAAGAACACGCCUUUCAAAGGUGUUGUAAAAUGUUCUUGAAUAGUUCAAAACAGUUGGUUCUUCUACUUGAAUGCUUGAUUCCGUAUUAGUAACUAUGUUUUACAAUCGUUGUAAAAGUGUGACUAAUAAGAAGUAGAAGAUAUAUGAGAGAAGGAAAAGGUACUUCACAUUCGGAACGUGAAUAAAAUAUAGAUCUUUGCGAAAGCAGAUAGUACUUACUUCCUCAUAUGAACUACCAAAGAAAUUGGAAAAACCAAAGAUUGUCUUUACAUUCCAAUUUUAAGGAAUUUAAUUCCGUCACUAUAGUAGAGAUGGAUGAAUGUUUUGUUUGACAAAACAUUGUUCUUUAUUAAUCAAUGAUUGGAUUAUGGUAAUCUAAUUGAUUGUCUCUAUAGUAGAGAUGAUAUGGUAGUGUUAACUGUUUAGAAUAUAAUGAUGCUUAAAACCCAAAAGGUUGCAAGGUAGUGACUAAUCCCAACUGAAGUUGUGAUACCUCUAAAACAUAAGUUACGAGUUGGUGAAAAAUGGAUGCUUUGGAUCGUUAGAUCCGGAUCCAAUACCUUCUUGUUAAAAAUUGUAUGGAGGCGAAAUGUUCGAAUCUUUAUUCUUUUGGAAAGAAGAAAGAAUCACAAAGUUGUUGAGGUUAAUUCACUUAGAUGUUAGUGGCACUUGUCCACAACAUAAUCAUACUCAUGUUAUAUGACAUUCACCGAAGAUCACUCUCGGUUGGACUAUAGUUUAUUUUGAAUAAACACAAGUCCGAAUACUUUGCAAAAUGUUUUUCAAAGAAUUCAAGAAAUGUAAGUUGAUGAGUAAGACAUCUAAAGUAUUUACCUCCUUAGAUUUGAUCCAAGGAAAAGUAACACUUUAGAUGAGUUUCCUUGAAAGAUAUCAAGGAAAUAAGCAUCAUAAGAUAAUAGAUUUCUCCAUAAGGAGAAGAACGAACUUAAAUAAGAUUUAGUUCGUUGGAUAUUAUCAAUUACCCAUAUAUAGGAUAUAUACUUCUAAAACAAUAUGAUUGUCAAUUAGAAGAUCUUCCAAAAUUUUCAUGACUCCAUAAGAUGUAGUUGGAAAGAAAGACAAAUCUUAAGCAUGUUAAGAUUUGGGGUUGUGUGCUAAUAAGCAAUAUUUGUUUGAUAACAAUCUUGUAGGAUAUCCUUAAAUUAACUUUUGGAUAUCGCUUCUAUAAACCAACUAACAAAUGUUGUUUUGUUGGGUAGUUCAUUGUAAUCCUACAAUGUGAUUUGCCUAAAAGCAAAUGAACGAGAGAUAGAACUCAAAGAAUGGGUUCUUUGAGAGACAAGAAAGUAAUCAACAAAUAUAAACAACCUAGUUCCUAUACCAAAAGCUCCAAGGUAGUCGAGAAGGAUUUAUAAACCGUCUCAGUUGAAUGGUUUGAACUUUAUGACUAUGUCAUAGAGUUACACCUCUUAAUUCGAAAGAAAUAAGAAUGAAAAUCCUUAUGACUACAUUGAGUGUAUAUACGAUAUAUACUCAAGGAAAUGGUAAAGUACCAUUUGACCCGAAAUAAUGAAACCUUCAUAAGCUAAUUGGUAGCUUAAGGUGACUACAAUCAAAGAGAAUGGUUGACUUUGAAGAAACCAUCUUUGACGUAGUCUUGGUUUCAAUUAAUUCGAAGAUAGCUAGCUACAACUAAAUGGUGAUUCAAUGUUUGGACAUAAUAUGGGUUUCCGAAACCAUUAUUAAGAUAGUCUUGAUAAUAUAUGUCUAAAACUAUAAAUCACAAGACAUGUAAGUUGUAGAGAUCCAUCCAUCAUGAAUCUUAGCAAGCUAGUGGGAGCUAUAAGCAUCUUAUGAGAAAAAGGAUCAAAUCGUUUGAUUUCUCAUAAAGAUGUAAAUGAAUCUUUUGUUUACUAGGUUUACAAAAGAUUAGUGGGAGUUAAUCAUGUUCCUAAAAUUUAAAUAUAUAUAUGAUAUAUUAAUUUUGGAAAUGAAAAGAAUACUUCUUCGUUAAAGUUAUGACUUUAAAACAUUAUAUGAAGAUAGAAUGUAUAUGGGAGACAUAGUCUAUAAACAUGGGAUGGAAAUCUAUAAUGAUAGAUUUUAGGAUAUAAUUGGAUUAUAUCAAGCCCUAAAUAAUAGACAAUGGAUGCUAGGAAGUUUCUCAUAUGAUGAUAAACUUCAAUUAGAAGGACAACUCUAGUGAGACUAAGCAAGUUGCUCUUCUCAAAGAGGAACGUACUCCUUUGACUCCCAAAGAAAUAAUGCGUAAAUAGAAUCCUUUAUGCAUACGCAGAAAGGUGAUUUAUGUAUUUCAUAUUGUAUGAAAAACAUUGAUAUGAGUUGUACCUAGAACGGUACAAGACGAUAUCAGUGCAAGCCCAGGAUCAGAACCAUGGCAACUGUCAAGUGAGUCCUUAAGUAUUUAAGAAAUACUAAAGGAUAGAUUCCUCAAAGAAUGAGGAAGAAUUAGAGUAACGUAAUGGAAGCGUAAAUGUAUUAGAUUAUGAAUCUAAUCCAUCAUUGGAUGUUUCUUCAUUAUGAAUGAAGAGAUAAACGAAUAUCUCUUUAUUAUGACUAAAGAGAUAUUUGGAUGGAAACAUUAAAGUAAUGACUUUAGUGUGUUCCAUUAUGAAUGCAAAAUAUAUUGCCAUAUAGAAGCUUUACAACAAUGUUGUUUGGAUGGGAAAGUUCAUUUAUGAACUCUCUAUUCGGUUCCAACCAGAAAGUGUAUCUAGUGUACUGACACUAUGACACUAAUGGGGCGAUAGCUCAAGCCAGGGAAUCAAGGUCUCAUCAAGAUCCGAACUCAAAUGAGAGACUGAACCACAUGAUUGAGAAUCAUGUAUAAUGGUGACGUCGUUAUUCUCAAGGUUGCUUCUAUGGAUAACAUAUAGAUAUCCAUUGUCUAGGCCUACUACUCAGCCAUUUAUGAAAUGACUACAGAAGAGGUAUCAUCACUGAUGAACAAGCUGAUUGGCUCUAGUGCAAGUGGGAGAUUGUUGGAAAUGUGCCCUAAAGCCAAUCAUAUGAUGAUACUUUACGGACAUUUCACAUGUUAAACUAAUCUAGUUUAAUAUAAAGGGCAAAGAUUAUUGUUUGAGCCGUCUCAUAUAAAUGUUAUAUGCUUAAACGAUAAAGUCCAAGGAAUAUGUGAUUGGGAGAAUGCAAUCUAAUGAAGUUAGAUUCAUGAGACCAUUCUUUCGUAGACACAUCCUAAAUGUUCCUGAUCAUAGGAUUGUAAUUGGGCAUUGACAGUCCGUUAAGAUCGGUACGUACUGUGUCUUCUCUCAGGGAGAGUGACUAGUCUCGAGUCAUUGGUGUGUGUGACAUCAAGUCAAGUACGUAGGUGCUCAAUAGAGAAUGAGUUCACUGAACACGAUCAACGAAGAGUUCUCAUAUUCAUGUCACAUGAGAACUCAUGGUUGGGAUAAUGCAAAGUAGUCCUUUGACCUGAGGCAUCAUCGUUGUCUUGUGGUUAAGUCCUUGAUCUUUGAUUAUGUCAAACGUCAUUCCAUUGGAGUGUCCACGGCAUCGUUGGGGUUAAGCCACUUAGCCAUGGAGGCAAGUGAAUGCGCAACAAGGGAUCUCUAACCUUCAAACCGUUUGAGGGAGAAUACUCUAUGAUAUGAUUAGAAUCUCUGGCCAGAGUAUGAAUGAGAUUUAGGAAUGCGUUCCAAAUCACAUUCAAGGUAAUCAUAUAAGCACACGAAUCACAUUGGAUAGUAGACAUGAAUAAAUAAACUAUCAAACCAAACAAUGUGGUCAAGAGUAUUGUAUUAGAGAAAGACCGUAUUGCAUUUGUAAUCCUAAACUGAAUAGGUUCUCCACCUCUUCUGAUUAGCUUGGGUAACCAUGAUAUGCUGCUAGGUGUCACUCAUGGUUUGUGGAAGCCCUAAACGUGUGUAAUCACUAAAGGGAGAAUUGAAAGUAAGUUUCAAUUCACAAUCGAUGUAAAAUGGUUUUAAUCGCCCACUGCCUCGCUAAAAGGAACCUAAUGGAUCGUACACCGUGUAAGGUGGAGAUUGAAGAAACAUUGGAGAUGAGUAAGAAUAAUUAAAUGGUUUAAUUAUUUAUGGCAAGGAUUAAUUAAUAUGUUAAUUAAUCAAACGAAUAAGUUCGUUAAAGACCUCGGGAUAGUUUUGGACGUUUAGGGCCAAUGGGCUUCGAACGUCAAGCCCAUUGACUUAAGUUGUAAGACAACUUAAUUCACAAAAGCCCAAAAGCCCAAACAACACCCUAAGGCCGGCCAUAUGGUUAAGGGUAGUGAACUUGGACUUAUUUUACAAGUUUGCCACUCAAAUGAAUAAAGGUAUAAAUAUGACUUUAUAGCCAAAAUUCAUUAAGGGUUUGUUUUGGAGAAAAUUGGAGAGAACAUGUCUCUCCAUUUCUCUCUAAAGAGGCCGGCCCCUUGGAGGGUGCAUCUAGCAAUCCCACUACUCCAAGGUCACUCAUUUCUUCUCCAAUCUAACCUUGGUGAAGAGACUUAGAGGUUCUCUAUUUUGGGAACUUGGAGAAUCCUAUUCUUCCAUACAAAUCCAUAGAUUUAAUAUGCAAGGAAUGAAGGCCCUCUCUUUGGGUGAUUAGCCUUUGCUUAUGCAAAGAGGAAUCUACAAAGGUAUAAAUUUCAACUCACUUUGUUUUGAGUUGAGUCUUGGUUCACCAAUCUACUAGGCUUUGAAUUUCAUGGUUAAUGUUUUGUUUUUAAGUGCAUGCAAGCAUGAUUCCGCCUUUAAUUGUUAAUUGCAUGCUUAUUGAUGUUGCUUAAAUGAACAUGUUUUCACAAAAUAAUCCUUCAGGAAGGAAGUCCCAUAAUGGACAGAGUCGAAGAACAGGACAGGAAUGGCCUGUCUAAAUCCUAACUGCCUGCUGCAGAAGUUAGGAUGGUACACUUCCAGGCCUUGGUCAUAUCUAUUGCCCCGAACUUCCCAGGCCAGGUCUCUUGAUUGAAUGCAACUAAUAAAUUUCUCCAUGCAAAAGGGGGUAGCAUCCUCGCCAGGGUCAUCUUGAAAGACUUGGUCAGAAAACCAAGGAUAUCUUCUUAGGACCGACGCACCACAUUCUAAAUCUGACCAAGUCCUGCAAACUCUGAAAAAAUAGAAGCAAGCAAAAGUGGAAUGAUCUAUAGGGGUAGCUUCAGCCAGGAUUCGGGCAGAGGCCACACCCUCAGGGAACUCCAGAUUAGCAGCCCGAAAUUCCAGAAAAUACCAUUGAAGCCAAGUUUGUAUCAUCCAUAUUGGUCCAUUCAAAUUGGUCUCAAAUGGCUCACCUUGAGUCAUUUCAAAAAGAAGAUGAUAAAGGUGGGAAAGAAGGAAUGAACCUGUAGCUACUUCAUCAAAGUUGUGAAGAGCUUCUACCAAGGGGAUCCAUUCAACCCUCACCCCUUUGGAUUUGUUGGGGAAGAUGUGCUUGUUGAGCCAGUAUAAGAGGAAAUACAUGUGCUCCUGAUCUUUAUCUACCCGAGGUGAGCCCACCCCAAAAUUCUCCUUUACAAAGGGGAUGAAUCCUUUGAAGGAAGUCCCGUAACUCUUGAAGGUUGCCGAGUUAUAAUUCAAAGAGAGGAAGGCAGCGGAUGAACUUGAGCUUCCAGUGGCAGAGGACGGAACCCAUUCUUGAGUAACGUCCACUAUCCUGCCGGAGGGCCUUAAGCCGAAAACUUGAGCCAUGUCAAGAAUGGUGGGAGACAUGGGGCCCAUACGGAAGUCAAAGGUAUUUGUGCCCGAAUUCCAGAAAAGGAGGGCAGAAGCAAGCAGUUCGGGCUUGGGAAUAAUCGUGGUCUUCGAAAGCAUGAUUAACUCAUAAAUACCAUUAUUCAUCCAUUUCCUCUUAAAAGUAGGCUCUAAAUCAUCAAUCCAUUGAGCCCAGGCAGGAUCAUUCAUCAGAGGAAAACCCCGACGAUAUGAUGACCAUUUGGAGGAAGAGGUGCCCGACCUAGCCGAAUAGGGAUUUGGGGAAAACCAGUUAUCUCUAGGCAUGUUGCUCUCCACCACUGAGGGGACCCGAGAAAUCGAGGCGGGACCCAAUGAUUGUACCCUAUGCACCUCAAAGAAAAGCUCGGAGUGCAGACCUGCCCAAGGGCGAUGCAGCCCAUUGAGUAGACGACGAAGAGUGGCGAUUCCUUCGCCAGAUUCGUAAGAAGGUUGGGUUUGGCUAGAUUCCGCAGUCAUUUGAAGGAGUUCGAGAACGGAAUACCAAGGAAGAUGACGAGGGUGACAAAUUAGAGAAGGAUUUCUUGCUGUGAGUACAGGGGAUCGAGGAGUUCGACUGCAAGGGAUUCGUGGGUUUUAUAAAGAGCUUUUUCAAUCAAUAUUGGCGCCUGGAAUUCCAGGCUAAAUAUUGAUUGAAGGGGGCACUGUUUGGAUUAAAAGUUAACUUUGGGCUCAAGAAAGGAGUUGGCCCAAAAGGAAGCCCGAAAGGGAAAUAGCCGAAGCCAGUCGAAGCCCAGAAGGCAGGAGAAGGCCUUUUCUGACUUGGUGCAGUUCAUGAAGACCACUUGCUUACCUACCCAAAGGCCAAGUGGUGUAGACUGGUCAGCUACACAACCCAUGAAAGUACUUUAUGGUGGCAUUACAUGUAAAAUAGCUGAUGAGUCAUCACCCUCAAACCGCAUUCGGGCAAAGCUGCUGCUACCAAAGGCCAAGCCGAGUUGUCUAUAUAAGAAGAAAGAAAAUCAAGGAUUAAGGUGAAGGAUUAUUUUGCGAAAACAUGUUCAUUUAAGCAACAUCAUAUAGCAUGCAAUUAACAAUUAAAGGCGGAAUCAUGCUAGCAUGCACUUAAAAACAAAACAUUAACCAAGAAAUUCAAAGCCUAGUAGAUUGGUGAACCAAGACUCAACUCAAAUCAAAGUGAGUUCAGAAAUAUACCUUUGAAGAUUCCUCUUUGCAUAAGCAAAGGCUAAUCACCCAAAGAGAGGGCCUUCAUUCCUUGCAUCUAAAAUCUAUGGAUUUGGAUGGAUGAAUAGGUUUCUCCAAGUUCCCAAAAUAGGGAACCUCUAAGUCUCUUCACCAAGGAGAGAUUGGAGAAGAAAUGAGUGACCUUGGAGUAGUGGGAUUGCAAGAUGCACCCCCCAAGGUGGCCGGCCUCUUUAAAGAGAAAUGGAGGGACAUGUUCUAUCCAAUUUUCUCCAAAACAAACCCUAAUGAAUUUUAGGCUAUAAAGUCAUAUUUAUACCUUUAUUCAUUUGAGUGGCAAACUUGUAAAUAAGUCCAAGUUCACUACCCUUAGCAUCAUGGCCGGCCCUAGGGUAUUUUUGGGCUAAUUAGGCCUUUGUGAAUCAUUAUUCAUUAAGUUGUCAUACAACUUAAGUCAAUGGGCUUGACGUUCGAAGCCCAUUGGGCCUUAAUGUCCAAAACUAUCCCGAGGUCUUUAACGAACUUAUUCGUUUGAUUAAUUAACAUAUUAAUUAAUCCUUGCCAUAAAUAAAUGAUUAAACCAUUUAAUCAUUCUUACUCAUUCUCCAUUGUUUUUUCAAUCUCCACCUUACACGGUGUGCGAUCCAUUAGGUUCCUUUUAGCGAGGCAGUGGGCGAUUAAAACCAUUUUAUAUCGAUUGUGAAUUGAAACUUACUUUCAAUUCUCCCUUUAGUGAUUACACACGUUUAGGGCUUCCACAAACCAUGAGUGACACCUAGCAGCAUAUCAUGGUUACCCAAGCUAAUCAGAAGAGGUAGAGAAAACCUAUUCAGUUUGGGAUUACAAAUGCAAUACGGUCUUUCUCUAAUACUAAUACUCUUGACCACAUUGUUUGGUUUGAUAGUUUAUUUAUUCAUGUCUACUAUCCAAUGUGAUUCGUCUUGUGCUUAUAUGAUUACCUUGAAUGUGAUUUAGAACGACUUUUCUAAAUCUCAUUCAUACUCUGGCCAGAGAUUCUAAAUCAUAUCAUAGAGUAUUCUCCCUCAAACAGUUUUGAAGGUUAGAGAUCCCUUGUUGCGCAUUCACUUGCCUCCAUGGCUAAGUGGCUUAACCCCAACGAUGCCGUGGACACCCUCCUGAUGGAGUGACUUUGACAUAAUCAAAGAUCAAGGACUUAACCACAAGACAACUAUGAUGCCUCAGGUCAAAGGACUACUUUGCAUUAUCCCAACCAUGAGUUCUCAUGUGACAUGAGUAUGAGAACUCUUCGUUGAUCGCGUUCAGUGAACUCAUUCUCUACUUGAGCACCUACGUACUUGUCUUGAUGUCACACACACCAAUGACUCGAGACUAGUCACUCUCCCUGAGAGAAGACAUAGCACGUACCGAUCUUGACGGACUGUCAAUGCCCAAUUGGCAAUCCUAUGAUCAGGAACAUUUAGGAUGUGUCUACGAAAGAAUGGUCUCAUGAAUCUAACUUCAUUAGAUUACAUUCUCCCAAUCACAUAUUCCUUGGACUUUAUCGUUUAAGCAUAUAACAUUUAUAUGAGACGGCUCAAACAAUAAUCUUUGCCCUUUAUAUUAAAACUAGAUUAGUUUAACAUGUGAAAUGUCCGUAAAAGUAUCAUCACAUGAUUGGUUUUAGGGCACAUUUCCAACAAUCUCCCACUUGCACUAGAGCCAAUCAGCUUGGUCAUCAGUGAUGAUACCUCUUCUGUAGUCAUUUCAUAAAUGGCUGAAUAGUAGGCCUAGGCAAUGGAUAUCUAUAUGUUAUCCAUAGAAGCAACCUUGAGAAUAACGACGUCACCAUUAUAUACAUGAUUCUCAAUCAUGUGGUUCAGUCUCUCAUAUGAGUUCGGACCUUGAUGAGACCUUGAUUCCCUGGCUUGAGCUAUCGCCCCAUUAGUGUCAUAGUGUCGAUACACUAGAUACACUUUCUGGUUGGAACCGAAUAGAGAGUUCAUAAAUGAACUUUCCCAUCCAAACAACAUUGUUGUAAACUUCUAUAUGGCAAUAUAUCUUGCAUUCAUAAUGGAACACACUAAAGUCAUUACUUUAAUGUUUCCAUCCAAAUAUCUCUUUAGUCAUAAUAAAGAGAUAUCUGUUUAUCUCUUCAUUCAUAAUGAAGAAACAUCCAAUGAUGGAUUAGAUUCAUAAUCUAAUACAUUUACGCUUCCAUUACGUUACUCUAAUUCUUCCUCAUUCUUUGAGGAAUCUAUCCUUUAGUAUUUCUUAAAUACUUAAGGACUCACUUGACAGUUGCCAUGGUUCUGAUCCUGGGCUUGCACUGAUAUCGUCUUGUACCGUUCUAGGUACAACUCAUAUCAAUGUUUUUCAUACAAUAUGAAAUACAUAAAUCACCUUUAUGCGUAUGCAUAAAGGAUUCUAUUUACGCAUUAUUUCUUUGGGAGUCAAAGGGUACGUUCCCUUUGAGAAGGGCAACUUGCUAGUCUCACUAGAGUCAUCCUUCUAAUUGAAGUUUAUCAUCAUAUGAGAAACUUCCUAGCAUCUCUUUGUCUAUUAUUUAGGGAUUGAUAUAAUCCAAUUAUAUCCUAAAAUCUAUCAUUAUAGAUUUCCAUCCCAUGUAUAUAGACUAUGUCUCCCAUAUACAUUCUAUCGUUAUAUAGAAUGCUUAAAGUCAUAACUUUAACGAAGAAGUAUUCUUUUCAUUUCCAAAAUUAAUAUAUCAUAUAUAUAUUUUAUAUUUUAGGAACAUGAUUAACUCCCAUAAACAUUCUAUCUUCAUAUAAUGUUUUUAAAGUCAUAACUUUAACGAAGAAGUAUUUAUUUCAUUUCCAAAAUUAAUAUAUCAUAUAUACAUUUAAAUUUUAGGAACAUGAUUAACUCCCACUAAUCUUUUGUAAACCUAGUAAACAAAAGAUUCAUUUACAUCUUUAUGAGAAAUCAAACGAUUUGAUCCUUUUUCUCAUAAGAUGCUUAUAGCUCCCACUAGCUUGCUAAGAUCCAUGAUGGAUGGAUCUCUACAACUUACAUGUCUUGUGAUUCAUAGUUUUAGACAUAUAUUAUCAAGACUAUCUUAAUAAUGGUUUCGGAAACCCAUAUUAUGUCCAAACAUUGAAUCACCAUUUAGUUGUAGCUAGCAAUCUUCGAAUUAAUUGAAACUAAGACUACGUCAAAAAUGGUUCCUUCAAAGUCAACCAUUCUCUUUGAUUGUAGUCACCUUAAGCUACCAAUUAGCUAUGAAGGUUUCAUUAUUUCGGGUCAAAUGGUACUUUACCAUUUCCUUGAGUAUAUAUCAUAUAUACACUCAAUGUAGUCAUAAGGAUUUUCAUUCUUAUUUCUUUCGAAUUAAGAGGUGCAACUCUAUGACAUAGUCAUAAAGUUCAAACCAUUCAACUGAGACGGUUUAUAAAUCCUUCUCGACUACCUUGGAGCUUGUGGUAUAGGAACUAGGUUGUUAUAUUUGUUGAUUACUUUCUUGUCUCUCAAAGAACCCAUUCUUUGAGUUCUAUCUCUCGUUCAUUUGCUCUUAGGCAAAUCACAUUGUAGGAUUACAAUGAACUACCCAACAAAACAACAUUUGUUAGUUGGUUUAUAGAAGCGAUAUCCAAAAGUUAAUUUAAGGAUAUCCUACAAGAUUGUUAUCAAACAAAUAUUGCUUAUUAGCACACAACCCCAAAUCUUAACAUGCUUAAGAUUUGUCUUUCUUUCCAACUACAUCUUAUGGAGUCAUGAAAAAUUUGGAAGAUCUUCUAAUUGACAAUCAUAUUGUUUUUAGAAGUAUAUAUCCUAUAUAUGGGUAAUAGAUAACAUCUAACGAACUAAAUCUUAUUCGAAGUUCGUUCUUCUCCUAAUGGAGAAAUACAUUAUCUUAUGAUGCUUAUUUCCUUGAUAUCUUUCAAGGAAACUGUUCUAAAGUGUUACCUUUCCUUGGAUCAAAUCUAAGGAGGUAAAUACUUUAGACGUCUUACUCAUCAACUUACAUUUCUUGAAUUCUUUGAAACCUUUUGCAAAGUAUUCGGACUUGUGUUUAUUCAAAAUAAACUAUAGUCCAACCGAGAGUGAUCUUCGGUGAAUGUCAUAUAACAUGAGUAGUAUUAUGUUUGUGGACAAGUGCCACUAACAUCUAAGUGAAUUAACCUCAACAACUUUGUGAUUCUUUCUUCUUUCCAAAAGAAUAAAGAUUCGAACAUUUCGCCUCUAUACAAUUUUAACAAGAAGGUAUUGGAUCCGGAUCUAACGAUCCAAAGCAUCCAUUUUUCACCAACUCGUAAUUUAUGUUUUUAGAGGUAUCACAACUUUAGUUGGGAUUAGUCACUACCUUGCAACCUUUUGGGUUUUAAGCAUCAUUAUAUUCUAAACAGUUAACACUACCAUAUCAUCUCUACUAUAGAGACAAUCAAUUAGAUUACCAUAAUCCAAUCAUUGAUUAAUAAAGAACAAUGUUUUGUCAAACAAAACAUUCAUCCAUCUUCACUAUAGUGACGGAAUUAAAUUCCUUAAAAUUGGAAUGUAAAGACAAUCUUUGGUUUUUCCAAUUUCUUUGGUAGUUCAUAUGAGGAAGUAAGUACCAUCUGCUUUCGCAGAGAUCUAUAUUUUAUUCACGUUCCGAAUGUGAAGCACCUUUUUCUUCUCUCAUAUAUCUUCUACUUCUUAUUAGUCACACUUUUACAACGAUUGUAAAACAUAGUUACUAAUACGGAAUCAAGCAUUCAAGUAGAAGAACCAACUGUUUUGAACUAUUCAAGAACAAUUUACAACACCUUCGAAAGGGUGUGUUCUUGACACUUGCAAGACAUUUCUUGCAAAUACCCCUUCCAAUGUCCAUCCUUUCAUAAAGAAAAGUUUGUUCCCUUGGAGUUAAUUUUAUCUUCUUCAUUUGACUUCUCCUUUGACUACAAUAGUCAUGGUCCCUAAACUCCCACUAUCUCUCUUGAAACUUAUUUUCAAUUGUGUUAUACACAUCAAACAUUUUUGGAGAGCAUGUGGUUAUUGUUCACUACAUAGUUUACAAUAAACUUAGUGAACCAUUAGGAUAGGGACACAAAGGUGAAGUCCUUGCCUAGUUUCCGUCUCGUUAAGUGGUUUAUCACUUCAACACUCAAUGAUUCAAAAUCAUCAUAUAAGUCCAUGUUAAUGGACUAUUUUUGUCAACCAACCAUUAUGUUCUAAACAUAAUUACAAACCUUUCAAGAGUUGUACAAGGCAACUCUCAUUUCUUCAUACAACAAUUUGUAAGUGAAGAAUCAUGGCACAUUAAAGUGUCCAUGCCUUUGUGCUUUCUUCUCAAGUUCUUUGUUCAUUUAACAAAGAAACAAGCACUAAGUGUUUGCAUUGACUAAGGGUUGUUCAAAGCAACUCUUAUUUCUUCAUACAACGAUUUGUAAGUGAAGAACUAAUAACACUAAAAGUGUCCUUGUCAUUAUGCUAAUCUUCGUAAGUUCCUUUGUUCAUUUAACAAAGGAUUAAGCAUUGGUUGUUUGUGUUGUCCUCUUCAUGAUAGACCUUUUCUAACAUGUUCUUCUAAUGAUACAUUAUCAAUAGGAAGAUUGUGAGGAUGAGACUACUUAGGUACAUUAUACAAUCCAUUUAAGAGACAAUCUUUGGGAUUGUUGUUACCAAGUCCGGAAACUAAAGCAUUCGGCUUUUUUUUGUCAAGUGUUGGAUAGCGUUUGCAAAAUAUAUUGGUAAACAAAUACAUAACGAAUAUAAAUUGAUUGAUUUUAAGCCAUUUGAUUCGGGUCUUUAAAUCAAAUAGCACCACCCACUAUUUUUGGCAAAUUCCAUAUCCCUCAUUGGAAUUCGAGAGUUUUGGAUGAAACUCUUAGUAGGUUAUGGGAGGCUCACUAUUACCAAGCCCACCUCAGAAUGAUAUCAUGUUUGGCUAGCAUUAAUAAUAAUGAGAGAGUACGCUUACUCAUUUGCAACUAAUGCAAGUACCCAUCUUAUUUGGCCUCUAGAGAAUGAUGCCUCAGAAUGAUAUCAUGUUGGCGUCCAUUGCACUUAGUUAAGUCAUUCCCACCAUGCUUAGUUCGUGUAAGGGGUUCAAGAAUAGCCUCACGAAUGAUAUCAUGUUGGCUAAACCUCGUUGCCUACACUCACUUCAUCAUGUAUGUAUAUAGAACUCCUCCUGAGUGUAAGCAUGCACUUUGUGUACUCCCCCAUGAUAGGGUGAAGCCGGUGUACAAGUCACAAACGAUUGGAGCCUACCACGGUGGAAGGCCACGAAAGAGUGUUCAAAGCACUCUCACGCUUAUCAACUUAAUAAUGGUUUGGUUGAGGGUUUUAGGUCUCAUCACAUAUAAACAUACAUUUUAAUCUCUAUUAAAACAAUUUUGGUCCUAUUACAACUAUUGGUCCAUAUGAUUGUUUUUAGUUGUAUAUAAUACUCCCACUAUGCUUAUAAAACGGUUUUUAAAAGCAAGAGUAUAUGAUACUACUAACAUAACCUUUGCAUUCAUUUGAUGGACUAUAUAGUUGCCUUAGGGCCUUAGGAUGAUUAUGAACCUUUGUUUAGAUUCAACACGAGCCUUGUGUUGAAUCUCGGUCUAGGAAUGGUGAUUGAUUUUUAGUUACGCGUUUAAUCACAUUAAGGCGUGUUGUCUUAGGGGCGUUGGACCCAACUACUUCAUUUUCAUGCAUAUCAAAUAAAGCAAGAAAGAAGUACUUCAAAGUAAAGGUGAGCUUAUGCUCAUUACAACAUUUGCAUAAAACAAAUUACUUUAAAGUAAAGAAGAGCUUAAGCCCUUUUACAACAUUUGAUCAAAUCAAAUUACAACCAAAAUCUAAUCUACACAUUCCCAUGGUUCAAACAAAUUUGAAACGGCCUUUCACAUAGCUCAAUUAUAUUAGGCUUAGGUUCAUAAUCACCCUUUAAUUAAUUAACACUUUAACUAAUUAAAUUGAAUGCAACAUUUUCAUUUGGUUUUUUGUAUCCAUAAAAUUGAUUUAAAUGGAGCUAAACAAAAUGAAAAUCCAAUUCUCAUUUAAAGAGACAAAACAAUUUUGUUCUCUACCUAAUUUGGGCCAUCAUGCAAUAACCACAACUUUUGGGCCAUAAAGCAAUUAACCUCAACUUUUGGGCUAUAUUGCAAAACUUUUGGGGUCACUUUGUAAAGACACAAAAGUCCACUACUUCAUGUAAUUACAAUAGAACCCAAAAUUUAAUCAAUGCAAAAACUUCAUUAAAGGAGCAAAACAAUUUGUCCUUUAGCGUUUUUGGACCUAAACGUAAAAACGUAAACUUUUGGGCCAAAGUGCAAAUACACAAAAGUAUCAAAACUUUAUGUAAUUGCAUAAAAGCCCCAAAAGUACCCCCACUAGGGGGUGGCCGGUUUUUGGAAGAGGAUAGAGUGAUGUGUGUGUUGAUUUGUGAGUUUUGACAUAAAGCAUGCAAGUGGUGCAAGUGGUGUGUGUGAAAGGGAAUUAAUCCUUACACACCCAUCACCAUUUCCAUCACCUUUCAAAUAAAUGUCUAAUGCAUUAAAACAUUUGAAAAACAUAAAACAUAAACUUUAUGAAAUAAAUCAAAACUUUGAAUCAAAACACAAACCUUUUUGUUCUUGGCAAAAAUGUCAAGAACAAUGAAGAACAUUCAUGAAAAAACCCAAAAUUUUUCCAUGAACUUUUUCCACCCAAAAACAUUCCAAAACCAUUCAAACUUUAGGGAAAUAACAUCUAACCAAACUAGGGUACAUAGGGGUUCCAAAAGUCACUUGAAAACACUUUUAACAAGUCAAACAAGAACCCAAAAAUCCACCCUUUGGAUUUGGCCGAAAAUCCCCAAAAUCAUGGCACCAAAUUUUAGCUCCAAUAUUCAUGCUCAUAUGAACUACAUCUACAACAUUUGAGAUGGCAAAUUUUCUAACAAAAUUUACAUUCAAAGAAACAAGAAUAAAGCUUGUAACAUAUUACAACUUUUAAAUCACAAACUAUGAACUACAAAACCCAAAAGGAUUCACCAACUACUAGACCUAGGCUCUGAUACCACUUGAAGGAUUUAUUUUGUGAAAACAUGUUCAUUUAAGCAACAUCAUAUAGCAUGCAAUUAACAAUUAAAGGCGGAAUCAUGCUUGCAUGCACUUAAAAACAAAACAUUAACCAUGAAAUUCAAAGCCUAGUAGAUUGGUGAACCAAAACUCAACUCAAAACAAAGUGAGUUGAAAUUAUACCUUUGUAGAUUCCUCUUUGCAUAAGCAAAGGCUAAUCACCCAAAGAGAGGGCCUUCAUUCCUUGCAUCUUAAAUCUAUGGAUUUGGAUGGAAGAAUAGGUUUCUCCAAGUUCCCAAAAUAGGGAACCUCUAAGUCUCUUCACCAAGGAGAGAUUGGAGAAGAAAUGAGUGACCUUGGAGUAGUGGGAUUGCUAGAUGCACCCUCCAAGGUGGCCGGCCUCUUUAGAGAGAAAUGGAGAGACAUGUUCUCACCAAUUUUUCUCCAAAACAAAACCCUUAAUGAAUUUUAGGCUAUAAAGUCAUAUUUAUACCUUUAUUUUCAUUUGAGUGGCAAACUUGUAAAUAAGUCCAAGUUCACUACCCUUUAGCAUCAUGGCCGGCCAUUAGGGUAUUUUUUGGGCUAAUUUGGGCCUUUGUGAAUCAUUAUUCAUUAAGUUGUCAUACAACUUAAGUCAAUGGGCUUGACGUUCGAAGCCCAUUGGGCCUUAAGGUCCAAAACUAUCCCGAGGUCUUUAACGAACUUAUUCGUUUGAUUAAUUAACAUAUUAAUUAAUCCUUGCCAUAAAUAAAUGAUUAAACCAUUUAAUCAUUCUUACUCAUCUCCAUUGUUUCUUCAAUCUCCACCUUACACGGUGUGCGAUCCAUUAGGUUCCUUUUAGCGAGGCAGUGGGCGAUUAAAACCAUUUUACAUCGAUUGUGAAUUGAAACUUACUUUCAAUUCUCCCUUUAGUGAUUACACACGUUUAGGGCUUCCACAAACCAUGAGUGACACCUAGCAGCAUAUCAUGGUUACCCAAGCUAAUCAGAAGAGGUUAGAGAAAACCUAUUCAGUUUGGGAUUACAAAUGCAAUACGGUCUUUCUCUAAUACUAAUACUCUUGACCACAUUGUUUGGUUUGAUAGUUUAUUUAUUCAUGUCUACUAUCCAAUGUGAUUCGUGUGCUUAUAUGAUUUACCUUGAAUGUGAUUUAGGAACGACUUUUCUAAAUCUCAUUCAUACUCUGGCCAGAGAUUCUAAAUCAUAUCAUAGAGUAUUCUCCCUCAAACAGUUUGAAGGUUAGAGAUCCCUUGUUGCGCAUUCACUUGCCUCCAUGGCUAAGUGGCUUAACCCCAACGAUGCCGUGGACACCCUCCUGAUGGAGGUGACUUUGACAUAAUCAAAGAUCAAGGACUUAACCACAAGACAACUAUGAUGCCUCAGGUCAAAGGACUACUUUGCAUUAUCCCAACCAUGAGUUCUCAUGUGACAUGAGUAUGAGAACUCUUCGUUGAUCGCGUUCAGUGAACUCAUUCUCUACUGAGCACCUACGUACUUGUCUUGAUGUCACACACACCAAUGACUCGAGACUAGUCACUCUCCCUGAGAGAAGACAUAGCACGUACCGAUCUUGACGGACUGUCAAUGCCCAAUUGGCAAUCCUAUGAUCAGGAACAUUUAGGAUGUGUCUACGAAAGAAUGGUCUCAUGAAUCUAACUUCAUUAGAUUACAUUCUCCCAAUCACAUAUUCCUUGGACUUUAUCGUUUAAGCAUAUAACAUUUAUAUGAGACGGCUCAAACAAUAAUCUUUGCCCUUUAUAUUAAACUAGAUUAGUUUAACAUGUGAAAUGUCUGUAAAGCAUCAUCACAUGAUUGGUUUUAGGGCACAUUUCCAACAUAAGGACACUCAAUCAAACAAACAAAUGCAAGCACAAACUCUGCUCAAAGCCAGAUUUGCCUUCAAAACAAAGCUGUAGUCAGCCUUCAUCCCUUUCGGGGAUAAACCUCCAUCCCUCUCGGGAUAACCCUCUCUUCAACCUUUUGUAAUAGCUCUGCUACCUUGUUCAACCUUGCUGUAGUAUCGAUUAAUCUUUUGUAAUCUCUCUCUCUCUCUACCCCUCUAAGCUUUCAGACAUUUGACAAAACUACAAAGAUAGGAACCUGCAAGAAGAGCAACCUUACCCGAUAAGGUUUAACCUUGCCCGACCUUCUUUGCUUUAGUUUUAUCUUUUCAAUAUGUUGUAUACUUCCAGUUAUAUGCAAGUUAUUUCUAGCAACAUGAUUAUUAAGAGGCUUUCUCAGUACUUGAAUCCAAUUUGAAUAUAUCGUCAGUGUUCAAACCAGAUCCAAGUCCUAAGCCCUCGGGCAUGUAAAUCUGAUCAGUUAAAAGUCCUUGGCCUCAAGGCAUAAAAUAGAACCUUAUGUGGACUUAACCCAUCCACGACAGUCCUUGAUAAACGAGAAGUCCGAAGUUACUUGGGGCGCAAGUAAUCAACCUACCUUCUAGUUUUCUUUCUAUUAUGUCAUGAUUAUCAUAGAACGCUUGAGCAUGGGAUGGAUUCUAAUGGAAAGCCUCAAGGCCUACACCUAAGGCCCCACAAAGGCAUCCAUUUGGAUUCAUUCCGUUCAGCGAUCUAAAGAGUCUAAGUAUAAGAAUGAACUCUGAUGGGAAGCCUCAAGGCCUACACCUAAGGCCCCACAAAGGCACCUAUUUGGGUUCAUUCUACUUCUUGGAUUCGGGUAAUCAGAAGUAUAAUAGUUAGAAAACUCCUACAAUCACAAGAACAAAUAUGAUGCGUUCGAGCACUGGUUUAGUUAUUUAUGAGAAGCCUCAAGGCCUACAUCUAAGGCCCUACAAAGGCACCUGUUAUAACUAACACGGUUUCUUGAAUACAUACAUAUAUACAACUAAAGCACGACAACCAUUUUACAUCUGCCAUGCUAAAGAUGGCAGUUGCACGCCUGAGCACCUAAAUGUUAACCUUGAUUGUGAGCCUCAAGGCCUACACCUAAGGCCCCACAAAGGCACCCUUCAAAGUUAAUGCUGUCCUUCUCUUUCAGCCUUACCCGAAGAGUCUUGCCCGAAGAGUCUUGCCCGACGAGACUUGCCCGAUAACGCCCGAAAACGAAGCAGAAGCCCGACAGCAGCCCUCAACCGGCGCCAACCUCCAGGGGAGCUGUGUGCUCGUCGGCCAGGAAACAUCCCCGACGGAAAUUCCUGCCACGAACAAGUAUAAUUUAAAUAAUAAUAUCAAUUGUAAUUAAAUGAUUAUUGCUUGCGUAAUAAGAUGCAUGCAUGCACACUCAUACUAGUAUAUAUUAGAUGGAUACAUACUGAAUAGUGAUUAUGUUGAUGAUGCGAAAAUUAUCUUAACACACAAAUUUAACCCUCUUUUGACAAUUGUAGUACAAGUAUAAGUAGGGAUCGUUCUGGACCGGAGAUUAGGAGGACUCGCUAAUAACCUCUAAACUAACUCAAAAAACAUAAAACUAAACUUAAAAACACUUAACAAGACUCACAAGACUCAAAGCAAACUUAAAAUACUCAAAACAGCUUAAAACAACCAAAUAAACUUAAACUAGACACUAGGAAUGACUUUGGACGAAAAUUGACUUUUACUUGAAUCAAAACACUUAAAAACACAAACUAAAACAGAUUUUAAACACUUUGAAACAAGAAACUAAAAUGGGGGUUUUGAUUUGGAUGAAGUUGAAACAAACAAACAAGUAUGAAAAACUAGACAAAUUGUAAAACAAAUUUGAGAACUAAGAUGAUGGAUGGGAUAGCUAGAGGCUUUUUCUCCACACAUGACAUGUAUGCAAAUAACUUGAUUUCCAGUUACUGCUUCAUUGAAUUAUGAACGACAAUGCUCCAAAUUAACCGUGACAUCACUAGUUAACUCUCAGAUUUUCCUUGUUUUAUUGGAUUGGAUGACAUCAUUCGACAACCCAAAACAUUCUUCAAAAGUUCCCUACAUGACAUCAUAAUAGAGAUACAAUCAAAGAUCAUUACGUUUAAUGAAAAUCAUAAGCAUUGACAAAGCACUUGCAACUAUGACAUCAUGUCGCUUAUGCUAGGAAUUGAACUUAACGCGAUCGUUUAUAAGCGACCUUCACUACAUGUGAAUAUAAGUUUGUAACGAUUAUGUGAAACUUCCUUAUAUUCUAGCAAUGGAUUUAUGCAUGCCAAUUAAGUGUCGACCCUUAAUUAACAAAUAUAAAUAAGUUAUCAAUCAAAUAGUUAAGCCAAUUGCAUUCACGAUUCAAGAGUUCCUAACUGGAAUUUAUCAAAUUAUAUUGCACACAUAAUCAUGGCUUUUAAAUCACCCCUAGCCAAGAGGGGUUUAGCCACUCAUAUUUACAACAAAACGAAAGGAAAUGAAUUUAAACAUUAGAAACAAAAGAAAGAAAACACCUAAACGCUCCAACGAUCCAAGUUGGACAGCAAGCAUGUCCAAGCACUUUCUUUCCCUUCCUUUGCUACGGCACAAGGUGUUGGUGAGUGUUUGAAGGUUUGUUUAUAUGGAGGAAUGGAUGUAAAGAUGAAUGGAUGUGUUUGGAUGAAGGUUGUAUUGAAAUGGGGAUGAAUGAUCAAGCAAAAACUAAACUAUAUGGCUGCCGCACACACUUCCUUUUAUAGAGGAAGUGCACCGCAAUGGAGGGAAAUUGGUGGUGUGUGCAAUGAUUCAAGGGUGAAAAUGAAGUAAUGAUGCAAAGCAUGGGGGGUAAAAUGGAGUGGUGUUGCAGCAAUGAGUGCAUUGAGUGGUGUUUGAAAUGAUUCAAAGGUGAAAGUGAAGUGAUGAUGCAAAGCAUGGGGGGUAAAAUGGAGUGAUGUUGCAGCUAGGGAACAUGAACGAUUGUGCACUUGGUAGAGAAAGGAAAGGGAGGUGAAAUGGUGCAGAAAUGAGUCAAAGGUGCAGCAAGACUCAUGAUGCACGGCAUGGGAUUUCAAAUGUGAUGGAUAGUGCAUCAAUGAGUGCAUGUAGUGGAGGUAAAAGUUGUAUAAAAUCUGAUGGGUGAAGGGGACAAGAAAUGUGCAGCAAUUGAGUGCAAUGAUUCAAUGUUUUUAUGCAUGAAAUCAGAAAUAAUGAAGGAGACAAAGGUGGUGCAUGACAUGGGUGGAAAUGUGAGUAAGUGGUGAAUCAAUGAGUGCAAGGAGGUGAAAGGAUUUUGUGCACAUGGUAGAGAAAGGAAAGGGAAGUGGAAUGGUGCAUCAAAUGAGUGCAAGGAGGGAACAUGGAUGAAUGUGCACGGCAUGGAGUGAUUUAUGGCAGAAAAUAGGAAAGGAAUGGCUCCCUUGCACGGCAAGGAAGAGAAAUGGUGAAGGAUGGUAUGGCUUGGACUUUUAGGGAAGGUUUAGGACUCGUAAAAUAUGUAAUGAAAUGUCCCAAAGUAUUUAGGAACCCUUUGUGUGACUAAUUUAGGAUUAGGAAAGGUAACGACAAGAUAAGGCAAGUUUGACUAGUCGUUCCUCAUUCUUAAUGGUUUCCUUGUCUUCCUUGGUCCUCAAUUUAUUUUCUUCCUUUCCUUGGCACAUUCCUAGCUUCUUUAUAUCUUUAAUUCCGUCCAACCACUUUGCUCCAUGCAUGUGAUAUCCAUUCCAUGCCCAAAACUGCUCUAAAAGGCACCAAAAUGCACUUCUUUGCCUUUUUAACCCUUUGUACCUACAAUCACACGAAAAUGGCUUGAAAUACUAAAUCAACUAAGAAAUAACAACAUAAAUGCACAAGAACAAGCUAACUAAGUCGCAUAAAUAUGCUCCUAUCAAAGUGAUGAUAACCGAAAGGCCGACGUUUUAUGUUGUUAACUGUUAAUUGUUGGAUAUUCAAAUCUCUCAUUUGUAUAAAUAAAUCAGAAUCGGAUACCUUUGCUUACUUUCUUGUUUGUUUCGAAUCCUCCAAUUCUAAUCAUCAAGAAAAGUAAAAAAUAAAUAAAGAGUAAGCCGAUCAACAAAAAGAAUAUUUCAAGUUGCUUACAGACUUUUCAUGUGAUGGAGUGGGGUGUGCUCGGGAGAUUGUGUGACGUGAUGAACUUCUGGAGUUAAUUUUGGAUGCGCUAUUCGAAGAUUUUUCACGUCAAAUAUAUUGUUUGAUUUGGUUUGUGAGGAUAGUUAACUUUAAUUUAUUUGUGGAGGAUGCUCUUUUACCAUUUGAUUAGGUUGAAAGUUUCAACAAAGUUUUUAUCGAGGUCCAUCUUCACUUUAUACCGAUUUCCUCAUCUUAAUGAAUAUCAUACAUUUUGUUCCAAAAAAACAAAAUGAAUAUUUCUUAUUCACAUGCAAAUAGUGCUCCACUUAAUUGGGCCCGUGAACCUUUUCUAGUCUAAAUUGUAAUUGAAAGGAGGGGCACGUGAAUUUUUGCAAAAUUUGGACACAUCGGCCGAUAGUUUUUCUGUUAACCUUUUGAGGCAUGCACUAGUUUGUUGGAUGUGGAUGUAAAUUUUCGUCUUCUUCUUCUUGGACGAAAAUGCACCUGCAAAACAAUUAACACUUAAGGUCAAUGCUAAGAGCCUCACGCUCCCACGAUGAAUUGGAGGGGGGGUUUGGCCGAAGAACCUCUUAUGCCAAAGUUAGAAUUUGAGGGAGAAAGUGUUUAGAGAAAUUUGGUGAAUUUUGCAAGAGAAUUGGACUUAGGUUUUUGGAGAAAUGAGAGGCUAUAUAUAUAAGGGUGUGGUCGACCUUAUUUGGAGAAAAGGGGUUCGGUCACUUAUGGUGGUUUUUUGCUAUAAUUGCAAGAUAUUAUUUAUUAUGUCAAAAUAAUAUCUUGUAAUCAAUCAGGAAAUUAAUUAGAAAAUUAAUCAAUUAAUUUUGGUAAUUAAUCCUAAUUUGAAAAGAAUAAAUAGGGGUUACUUUGUGGGGAGGAUUUGAUGAGGAUUGAUGAAAUAGGUUUUGAAUAAAUACCUAUUUUGGUCACCUUUGACCUUGAUUGAACCGUUAUUGUCUACUUCUUGCGUGUGGGAGUCCCAGUAUGCCUCGAGGGUAAUUUUGUUUUUUUAACCCAAGAAUCCACGUGUCGCAUUCAUAUUUUUCUCGAUUAUUUUUGGCUCCACAAAUACCCCAGCACCUGUUGGACUACUCGUAGAAAAGGGUAGCAGGUGUAGAGAUCUUCUUGCUUUAGGAAACAUAGGAAUGUUUCCUAUUUUGAUGUAGAUUCUCUCUCUAAUUGAAAAUUAGAUCCUCAUAGGAAAGGGAAAUAAAUUUCUCCCAAAGUCUAUUUAAGUCUACCUUAGAGAGCAAUCUAUUUUACCUACAAGAGAGAAAGCUAGAGGAUAUUUGUUCCCCUCCCCUAGGAAUCUUCUACACUUGCCCGUGCAAAUGACCAUCUUUCAUUGCUUUCUUCGUCUUUACGCCGCACCAAGGUAAGAAAAAAUUAAUUUUCCUUGUCUUCUUAAUUUUUGGGAGCCUCGGGGCUUGAAAUUUAGCUCGACGGGGGUCGAUGAGGUGUGCAAAAUUAGUUGGAAAGUCACGUAGGAGUUCUGGUGUGCCUCGAGGGUAAUUAUGUCUUUUUCACCCAAGAAUCCAUGUGUCACCUCCAUAUUUUUCUUGAUUAUUUUUUGUUCCACAAAUGCCCCCACACCUGUUUGGUUGCUCGCAAAAAAGGGCAACAAGUGUAGAGAUCUUCCUGCUUUAGGAAACAUAGGAAUGUUUCCUAUUUUGAUGUAGAUUCCCUAUUUAAUUGAAAAUUAGAUCCUUCUAGAAAAGGGAAAUAAAUUUAUCCCAAAGUCUAUUUAAGUCUACCUUAAGUAGAUAAGAUUAACUUUAGAGAGCAAUUUAUUCUACCCUACAAGAGAGAGAAAGCUAGAGGAUAUUUGUUCCCCCUUCCCUAGCAAUCUUUUACACUUGGCUAUGCAAAUGACCGUUUUCAUUGCUUUCUUCGUCUUUACGCCGCACCAAGGUAAGAGAAAAUUAAUUUUCCUUGUCUUCUUAAUUUUUGGGAGCCUUGGGGCUUGAAAUUUGGCUCGACGGGGGUCGAGGAAGUGUGCAAAAUCGGCUGGGAAGUCACGGCUGGGUUGCUGCCAUGUGUGGCUCAGCUCAGGCUAAGGGUUGGCGUGGUUGGCUCAGGCCAAGAAGCUGAGUUGGAUGGUUAGACUUAGGCCCACAAGAAAAAGUGGAAAAGGGAGGGACAAGGUUGCCAACCCCUUUUUCGGUGGAAUUAGGUCGCGAGGCCUAAGAGCUGAGGGAGAAUGGGCCAGGCCGUAGGGCCUGGCGUGGCUGUUGCUAGGCUCAUGUGGCUUGGGCCUUCAGUUUUUUUUUUUUUUUUUUUUUUUUUUUUUUUUUUUUUUUUUUUGAAUGAUGGGCUCGACCCUAUGCUGGUAUAGGAAGGAGAGAGAGGCCGAGAAUCAUGUUCGGCCAUGGGGCCUGUUGUGCCAUGCCCCUUCUUCUUUUAUUUAUUUAUUUUUUUUUUAUGUAACCGUCUAACGAAUUUUCCUUGCAUCUUUAUAGAAUUUCUUCAAGCAUGUCUUCCUUAAGCCACAUGAAUGAUGAUUGUGUGCUGCCAUUGUAUCGUCAAAGCGGGUCUUUGAGCAAGGUUGGCUACUUCAAGGCUGCUCACUUUAAAAUUAGCUUCGAUGACUUGUUUAGAGAUUUCCUUGAGGUAUAUAGGCACGCUAUUCCGUCGGGAGUGCGUGUGAAGUGUGUCAAGGAUGGUAGCAGCCAUGAACCAUGUAGUGAGGCUCGGACAACCAUCAAGUUUAACCCUUACUACUUUGUGUUAGGGUUUACUUUUCCUAUGCCGCGUUUUUUCCAAGAAGUGCUCUGCUCCAUGAGAUGUGCCCCUGCUCAAUGUUCUCCGAAUGCGGUCCACGUGAUGGUGGGAUUCCUUAAUCUAAGCCAAUUCUUUGACUUAGAUCUAAUCGUCAAUGAAUUUUGUUACUGCUUUGACAUAGGCCACAUCGAGGAAGUUGGGUAGCUACGAUCUUGCCAUAGGCUCUUUGACCAUUCGAGUAAGGGAGAUCAUGACUAGGCCAUGGAGACUUUGGAGAUAAGCGGAGAAUGAGAGUCUGAUUCUUCCCCCAAGCUGAGUGUUCUGACGGUUUUCAUCUCUGGUAAGUAUGCUGCUUAGUCCCUCGGCUACUUUGUACUUUCACUAAACUGUGUUCUGAUUUAUUGAUUGUCUCCCUCUGCUCUUGUAGAUUUGUAAUUUGGCUUAACUCCUAAGACUUCUUCAGAAAUGAAAAAGUUCAUGUCGCUCUGGGUAUCCCUUGGCAAUGGCUGCUUAGUCAUUUUCAUCGAGAGAAAGAUGAACUGCCCCUAAGGGAAGAGAUAAAGCAAAUCAAGGUUAAGGCGUUGGCUCGCCUGAUCACAGUUGUGGAGCCUGCAACAAAUGAAGGUGGGAAAAACAGAUCUUCCUAGCUUGCUCAAGAGAAGAUGGCUGAGAAAAAGCCAAAGACUUAUUCUGCUGCUUGCGAAGGUUCGUCGGCUGUCCUCAGGCUUGCGAUUGACUUGACUUCUUCCAAGGGUGAAAAUGAUGAGGCUGCUAGAUUCGUGCCAGUGAUGCAUGUCGUUCCAUAGGUGGCUAGUUUGAUUGCUGAUUGGAUUGCUCAGCGUAUAAAUUCCGACGUGUCUCCAGUGCCAAAAUUUAUGCCAAAACGUCCUUAUGGGGCUAAGUUUGGUUCACCUUUGGAGAGGCUCGCUACUAUGAAGAGCCACAAGGUGCCUUCGCUUGCUAAAGUGAUGCCAAAACCCAUUCCUCAUGCUGCUGAGACCGAUUCGCCUGCUGAGAAGAAUGAGACUGCUUGUGCGGGCAGUUAUGAGAAAUCCACAAAGUUUGUUUCUAGAGAAGCUGCUGAGAUUUGUACGCUCUUGAGACCUGAUCUGCUCGAGGAUAUGGAUGCGUAUGCCAAGUUUGUUUAUGGCAUUAGAGAGGUUGUCUGCCCAAGUUCCUUUGCGAAGCAUACGACCGAGUAUAGGAAGACUGCUCUGCUUGCCAUGACAUAGAAGACGACGAUUCCAGCAACUGAGUCUAUGCUCCUUGACUAAGAAGACACCAAGGCUGCCAAAGAGGUGGCAAAGAUUAUGGCAACCAAAGUUUACUCCUCGGUCGAGAAGAUCAAGAGGUUGGAAUCUGAGCUUGCUGCUUUGAAGGGGUUUAAUAUCUUUACCCCCACUUCUAUGUAGCUUGAGACCGCUCUCCAAGAGAUCGUGGAUUUGAAGACUAGGCUUGACGCGAUCCAAGUUAAGUAUGAAAGUGCAGAAAAGGAGAUCAAGUGUUACAUACCUUAGAUUCAAGACCUUGAGCGUGCCAUCUCUGAGUUCUGCUCUACUUCUUACGCAAAGGAUGAAGAACUAAUCCCUGCUUAUAACCAAGUGAUCCAUUUCAAGAAUGUUGUUGAUAGGCUUGAACCUCAAGUGUUAGAUUUCCAAGGUGUUUUGAAGAUCAACGACAGUCUGAAGAAGGAAGUGGAUGAGCUACAGUGCAUCUGUGCUGGUCUACUGGGAAUGAAAAGGUUGGACUUGAGGCUUCACUUACUUAGAGUUAAGACGAUUUCUACAAGUUGGGUUAUGUAGACCAUCUCUUUGGGCAUUCGUCUGCCUUUGCGUUUUCUGGUAAAGACUUCGAGACCUUUUCCAUUUCUUCUGAAAACGUGCUCAUCUUUACUUUCGAGGCUUCCAUUAGUGACGUAGUUGGAGAAGCUGAUGCCUAGGCUGGGGCAGCCGAGAAUCAAGCGUUGGAUGGUGCCACUGCUAAGGGUGCCGUGGUUGUUGAUGGUGUGGCGACCGAGUAGUAGUGGAGCAUCCAAGCUUCUGAGUGAAGGAAAUUUAAUGAAAACAUGUUCAUUUAAGCAACAUCUAUAGCAUGCAAUUAACAAUUAAAAGGCAGAAUCAUGCUUGUAUGCACUUAAAACAAAACAUUAACCAUGAAAUUCAAAGCCUAGUAUAUUGGUGAACCAAGACUCAACUCAAAUCAAAGUGAGUUGAGAAAUUUAUACCUUUGUAGAUUCCUCUUUGCAUAAGCAAAGGCUAAUCACCCAAGGAGAGGGCCUUCAUUCCUUGCUUCUUAGAUCCAUGGAUUUGGAUGGAUGAAAUGGUUCUCCAAGUUCCCAAAAUUGAGAACCUCUAAGUCUCUACACCAAGGUUAGAUUGGAGAAGAAAUGAGUGACCUUGGAGGAGUUGGAUUGCUAGCUAAUCCCUCCAAAGGGGCCGGCCUCUUUAGAGAGAAAGGGAGAGACAUGUUCUCUCCAAUUUUUCUCCAAAAGAAACCCUUAAUGAAUUUAGGCUAUAAAGUCCUUUAUAUAGUCCCUUCAAAUAAGUGACCUAAAGAACCAAAAAGCCAUUCUUUUAACAUGGCCGGCCAAUUGAGGGAUUUGGGCUUUUGGGCCCUUGUGAAUCUUUAUUCAUUAAGUUGUCAUACAACUUAAGUCCAUGGGCUUUGACGUUCGAAGCCCAUUGGGCCUUAAGGUCCAAAACUAUCCCGAGGUCUUCAACGAACUUAUUCGUUUGAUUAAUUAACAUAUUAAUUAAUCCUUGCCAUAAAUAAUUAAACCAUUGAAUUAUUCUUACUCAUCUCCAUUGUUUCUUCAAUCUCCACCUUACACGGUGUACGAUCCAUUAGGUUCCUUUUAGCGAGGCAGUGGGCGAUUAAAACCAUUUCAAAUCGAUUGUGAAUUGAAACUUACUUUCAAUUCUCCCUUUAGUGAUUAUACACGUUUAGGGCUUCCACAAACCAUGAGUGACACCUAGCAGCAUAUCAUGGUUACCCAAGCUAAUCAGAAGAGGUGGAGAACCUAUUCAGUUUAGGAUUACAAAUUCAAUACGGUAUUUCUCUAAUACAAUACUCUUGACCACAUUGUUUGGUUUGAUAGUUUAUUCAUGUCUACUAUCCAAUGUGAUUCGUGUGCUUAUAUGAUUACCUUGAAUGUGAUUUGGAACGACUUCCUAAAUCUCAUUCAUACUUCGGCCAAAGAUUCUUAAUCAUAUCAUAGAGUAUUCUCCCUCAAAUGGUUUGAAGGUUAGAGAUCCCUUGUUGCGCAUUCACUUGCCUCCAUGGCUAAGUGGCUUAACCCCAACUAUGCCGUGGACACCCUCGAAUGGAGUGACUUUGACAUAAUCAAAGAUCAAGGACUUAACCACAAGACAACUAUGAUGACUCAGGUUAAAGGACUACUUUGCAUUAUCCCAACCAUGAGUUCUCAUGUGACAUGAAUAUGAGAACUCUUCGUUGAUCGUGUUCAGUGAACUUAUUCUCUAUUGAGCACCUACGUACUUGUCUUGAUGUCACACACACUAAUGACUCGAGACUAAUCACUCUCCCUGAGAGAAGCCACAGCACGUACUGAUCAUAACGGACUGUCAAUGCCCAAUUGGCAAUCCUAUGAUUAGGAACGUUUAGGAUAUGUAUACGAAAGAAUGGUCUCAUGAAUCUAACUUCUUUAGAUUGCAUUCUCCCAAUCACAUAUUCCUUGGACUUAUCGUUUAAGCAUAUAACAUGUAUAUGAGACGACUCAAACAAUAACCUUUUGCCCUUUAUAUUUAAACUACAUUAGUUUAACUUGUGAAAUGUCCGUAAAGUAUCAUCAUAUGAUUGGUUUUAGGGCACAUUUCCAACAAUCUCCCACUUGCACUAGAGCCAAUCAACUUGGUCAUCGGUGAUGAUACCUCUUCUGUAGUCAUUUCAUAAAUGGCUGAGUAGUAGGCCUAGACAAUGGAUAUCUAUAUGUUAUCCAUAGAAGCAACCUUGAGAAUAACGACGUCACCAUUAUACAUGAUUCUUAAUCAUGUGGUUCAGUCUCUCAUUUGAGUUUGGACCUUGAUGAGACCUUGAUUCCCUGGCUUGAGCUAUUGCCCCAUUAGUGUCAUAGUGUCAGUACACUAGAUACACUUUCUGGUUGGAAUCGAAUAGAGAGUUCAUAAAUGAACUUUCCCAUCCAAACAACAUUGUUGUAAACUUCUAUAUGGCAAUAUAUUUUGCAUUCAUAAUGGAACACACUAAAGUCAUUACUUUAAUGUUUCCAUCUAAAUAUCUCUUUAGUCAUAAUAAAGAGAUAUCUGUUUAUCUCUUCAUUCAUAAUGAAGAAACAUCCAAUGAUGGAUUAGAUUCAUAAUCUAAUGCAUUUUUCCAUUACGUUACACUAAUUCUUCCUCAUUCUUUGAGGAAUUUAUCCUUUAGUAUUUCUUAAAUACUUAAGGACUCACUUGACAGUUGCCAUGGUUCUGAUCCUGGGCUUGCACUGAUAUCGUAUUGUACCGUUCUAGGUACAACUCAUAUCAAUGUUUUUCAUACAAUAUGAAAUACAUAAAUCACCUUUCUGCGUAUGCAUAAAGGAUUCUAUUUACACAUUAUUUCUUUGGGAGUCAAAGAGUACGUUCUCUUUGAGAAGAGCAACUUCUUAGUCUCACUAGAGUUGUCCUUUUGAUUGAAGUUCAUCAUCAUAUGAGAAACUUCCUAUCAUCUUUUGUAUAUAUUUAGGGCUUGAUAUAAUCCAAUUAUAUCCUAAAAUCUAUCAAUAUAGAUUUCCAUCCCAUGUAUAUAGACUAUGUCUCCCAUAUACAUUCUAUCUUCAUAUAAUGUUUUAAAGUCAUAACUUUAACGAAGAAGUAUUCUUUUCAUUUCCAAAAUUAAUAUAUCAUAUAUUUAAAUUUUAGGAACAUGAUUAACUCCUACUAAUCUUUUGUAAACCUAGUAAACAAAAGAUUCAUUUACAUCUUUAUGAGAAAUCAAACGAUUUGAUCCUUUUCUCAUAAGAUGCUUAUAGCUCCCACUAGCUUGCUAAGAUUCAUGAUGGAUGGAUCUCUACAACUUACAUGUCCUGUGAUUUAUAGUUUUAGACAUAUAUUAUCAAGACUAUCUUAAUAAUGGUUUCGGAAACCCAUAUUAUGUCCAAAUAUUGAAUCACCAUUUAGUUGUAGCUAGCAAUCUUCGAAUUAAUUGAAAACAAGACUACGUCAAAGAUGGUUUCUUCAAAGUCAACCAUUCUCUUUGAUUGUAGUCACCUUAAGCUACCAAUUAGCUAUUUAAGGUUUCAUUAUUUCGGGUCAAAUGGUACUUUACCAUUUCCUUGAGUAUAUAUCGUAUAUACACUCAAUGUAGUCAUAAGGAUUUUCAUUCUUAUUUCUUUCGAAUUAAGAGGUGUAACUCUAUGACAUAGUCAUAAAGUUCAAACCAUUCAACUGAGACGGUUUAUAAAUCCUUCUGGACUACCUUGGAGCUUGUGGUAUAGGAACUAGGUUGUUAUAUUUGUUGAUUACUUUCUUGUCUCUCAAAGAACCCAUUCUUUGAGUUCUAUCUCUCGUUCAUUUGCUCUUAGGCAAAUCACAUUGUAGGAUUACAAUGAACUACCCAACAAAACAACAUUUGUUAGUUAGUUUAUAGAAGCGAUAUCCAAAAGUUAAUUUAAGGAUAUCCCACAAGAUUGUUAUCAAACAAAUAUUGCUUAUUAGCACACAACCCCAAAUCUUAACAUGCUUGAGAUUUGUCUUUCUUUCCAACUACAUCUUAUGGAGUCAUGAAAAUCUUGGAAGAUCUUCUAAUAUAUAUAUCCUAUAUAUGGGUAAUAGAUAACAUCUAACGAACUAAAUCUUAUUCGAGUUCGUUCUUCUCCUAAUGGAGAAAUUCAUUAUCUUAUGAUGCAAUUUCCUUGAUAUCUUUCAAGGAAACUCAUCUAAAGUGUUACUUUUCCUUGGAUCAAAUCUAAGGAGGUAAAUACUUUCGAUGUCUUACUCAUCAACUUACAUUUCUUGAAUUCUUUGAAACAUUUUACAAAGUAUUCGGACUUGUGUUUAUUCAAAAAUAAACUAUAGUCCAACCGAGAGUGAUCUUCGGUGAAUGUCAUCCAACAUGAGUAGUAUUAUGUUGUGGACAAGUGCCACUAACAUCUAAGUGAAUUAACCUCAACAACUUUGUGAUUCUUUCUUCUUUCCAAAAAGAAUAAAGAUUCGAACAUUUCGCCUCUAUACAAUUUUAACAAGAAGGUAUUGGAUCCAGAUCUAACGAUCCAAAGCAUCCAUCUAUGACCAACUCGUAAUUUAUGUUUUAGAGGUAUCACAACUCAGUUGGGAUUAGUCACUAUCUUGCAACCUUUUGGGUUUUAAGCAUCAUUAUAUUCUAAACAGUUAACAAUACCAUAUCAUCUCUACUAUAGAGACAAUCAAUUAGAUUACUAUAAUCCAAUCAUUGAUUAAUAAAGAACAAUGUUUUGUCAAACAAAACAUUCAUCCAUCUCUACUAUAGUGACGGAAUUAAGUUCCUUAAAAUUGGAAUGUAAAGACAAUCUUUGGUUUUUCCAAUUUCUUUGGUAGUUCAUAUGAGGAAGUAAGUACUAUCUGCUUUCGUAGAGAUCUAUAUUUCAUUCACGUUCCGAAUGUGAAGCACCUUUUCUUCUCUCAUAUUUCUUCUACUUCUUAUUAGUUACACUUUUACAACGAUUGUAAACAUAGUUGCUAAUACGGAAUCAAGCAUUCAAGUAGAAGAACCAACUGUUUUGAACUAUUCAAGAACAAUUUACAACACCUUCGAAAGGUGUGUUCUUGACACUUGCAAGACACUUCUUGCAAAUACCCCUUCCAAUGUCCAUCCUUUCAUAAAGAAAGUUUGUUCCCUUGGAGUUAAUUUUAUCUUCUUCAUUUGACUUCUCCUUUGACUACAAUGGUCAUGGUCCCUAAACUCCCACUAUCUCUCUUGAAACUUAUUUCAAUUGUGUUAUACACAUCAAACAUUUUGGAGAGCAUGUGUUUAUUGUUCACUACAUAGUUUACAAUAAACUUAGUGAACCAUUAGGAUAGGGACAUAAAGGUGAAGUCCUAGCCUAGUUUCCGUCUCGUUAAGUGGUUUAUCACUUCAACACUCAAUGAUUCAAAAUCAUCAUAAGUCCAUGUUGAUGGACUAUUUUUGUCAAACAACCAUUAUGUUCUAAACAUAAUUACAAACUUUCAAGAGUUUUUCAAGGCAACUCUCAUUUCUUCAUACAACAAUUUGUAAGUGAAGAAUCAUGGCACAUAAAGUGUCCAUGCCCUUGUGCUUACUUCUAAAGUUCCUUGUUCAUGUAACAAAGAAACAAGCACUAAUGUUUGCAUUUAACUAAGAGUUGUUCAAAGCAACUCUUAUUUCUUCAUACAACAAAUUGUAAUUGAAGAAUUAUGACAUUAAAAGCGUUGUCCUCUUUAUGAUAGACUUUUUCUAAAAUAUUCUUCUAAUGAAACAUUAUCAAUAGGAAGAUUGUGAGGAUGAGACUACUUAGGUACAUUUACAAGCCAUUAAAGACAAUCUAUGGUUUUGUAGUACCAAGUCCGGAAACUAAAGCUUUCGGCUUUUAUUUGUCAAGUGUUGGAUAGCGUUUGCAAAUAUAUUGGUAAAUAAAUACAUAACGAAUAUAAAUUGAUUGAUUUUAAGCCAUUGAUCCCGGUCUUUGAAUCAAAUAGCACCACCCACUAUUUUUGGCAAAUUCCAUAUCCCUCAUUGGAAUUCGAGAGUUUUGGAGGAAACUCUUAGUAGGGUAUGAGAGACUCACUACUGAAGGGAAAAUUAUGAGAUUUCUAGAAUGGGAUUUCAUAAUGACUAUCAUGCGUAUUUAAAUCAAAUUUAAUAUACGAAAGCAGCGGAAGCAUUUAUAACAUAUUAUCAAAGCUAUAGUCAUGCAAAUCCCCUUCAAGGUUCAUAGGUUUAUAUAUAAUGCAUCAAAACAUUUUUAAAGAAUCAAGAACAAGGUGAAGGUUAGUCUUAUACCUCUUGAUCUAGACUUGAGACCAAGGAUGGACCACCUCCAAGCCCUUUGCUCCUUGAAAUCCUUGAGCCUAGCUUCCCUCCUUGCCUCCUCCACUUUGUUACAAUGAGUGCUCCUAGGUUCUCUUCAAGUUCCCAAAGUAGGAAACCUCUAAAGAUCCUCACCCACUAGUGUAGUGAGAAGGAUGAAGGAAUAACCAAAAGGGUGUAAGAGAUGUUAGUAAAAACCCCAUUUGGUGGCCGGCCUUUGUGUAGUUUAGAGAGCUAUUUUUCUUUUGCCUCUUUGUUGUUUUAACACACAAAAAACCCUAAUGAACUUUAUCUCUAUAAAGUUGCUUAUAUAGACAAAAGAAACCUAGUCAACACUUGACUAAUUUUCUCUCCUUCCCCACUUAAUAUGGCCGGCCCUCUUUGUGUUGUUUGGGCUUUGGGCUUUCAUUUAUUUCAAGUCAUCCAAUGCUUGAAUAAAAGCCCAAUGGGUUUAGGCCCAAUAGGCCCAAUUAAACCCGAACGUUUCUUUAAGCCCAAAACGAUCUUUAUCGCUUUUAUGAUUUCUUUAGACUUUUCUAAAUUAAUCACAACACAUAAUUAAUCCAAUUAAUUGUUUCCAUCAUCCAUUAGUUACUCACCACAAUAGUGUUUUGGUGAACAAUCUUUUAGGUUCUAAUUAGCAAGGCAGUGAGGUGAUUGGCAUCAAUCCAAUUGCUUAUAUUUAAUUCAAUCACUUAGUGAAUUAAAACCUCAUUUUAAUUCACCUUUCUUCUUUGAUGACUACAUUUAAUCAUCUAGAAGAACUCACAAGCUAUGAGUGACAUCUAACCAUAUGUCAUAGCUACCCAAGCUAAUGUAGAAGUUUAUUCGAAGAACCUAGUCAGUUGGAAUUACAAUGUAAUUCAAUCCUUCUCUAAUACAAUACUCUCAAUCACAUCAUUAGGGUAUGGAUAUAUCAUGUCAAACCCCUAAUGUGAUUAUUCCUUCAUAUAUGAUUCAUUUGAGUCGUAUAGGAACACUUUCCUUUCAAUACGCUCGAUACUUCGGCCGAAGAUUCCCGAAUCAUAUCUUAGAGUAUUCUUCCUCUCUUAUCGAGGAUUAGAGAUUCCUUGUUGCGCAUACACUUGCCUUCAUGACUAAGUGGCUUAACCCCAAUUAUGCCGUGGACACCCUCGAAUGGGGAGACUUUGACAUAAUCAAAGAUUAAGUACUUAACCACAAGACAACGACGAUGCCUCAGGUCUAAGGAUUACUUACAUCUUUCCAACCAUUAGAGUUACUUGCUUGACAUGUGAGUAGAUCUCCAUGCAAGUACUCUCGUUCGAUUGUGUUCAGUGAACUCAUUCCCUUAAUGAGCACCUACAUACUUGUCUUAGUGUCACAACACGAAUGGGAUGAGACUUUCCAUCCUUCCAAUUGAAGCGGACACAGUAUGUACCGGUCUACGCAUUGUCAGUAUCCCUCCGACAAUCCAACGACCAGGAACCUUUUGGACAUAAUGGUUAUGUGAAGAAGGUCUCUGUAGUCUAACAUCAUUAGAUUACUUCUCCAAUCGAUCCAUUGUCCAUGGAUACACUAUUCAGGACAUAUAUCGUUUAUUGAGAUAGUCCUAAUUAGCAUCUUUGUCAUUUGAUGUAUAAGAAUCAUCCAUACAUCGAUUCAUUUGUCCUGAAAGAUUUCUUCCAAAGAUUGACUUUCAGGGCAUAUUUCCAACAACUACUACCAAGCCCAUCUCACAAUGAUAUGAUGUUGGCUAGCAUUAAUAAUAAUGAGAGAGUACGCUUACUCAUUUGCAUCUCUUGCAAGUACCCAUCUUAUUUGUCCUCUAGAGAAUGUUACCUCACAAUGAUAUGAUGUUGGCUCCAUUGCACUUAGUUAUGUCAUUCCCACCAUGCAAGUUCGGGUAGGUGUUCAAGAACAACCUCACAAUGAUAUGAUGUUGAUCAUUCUCGUUGCCUACGUCUCACAUCAUCAAGUAUGCAUAUAGACUCCUCCUGAGUGUAAGCACGCACUUUGUACUCCCCCAUGAUAGGGUGAAGCCGGUGUACGAGUCACAAACGAUCGGAGCCUACCACGGUGGAAGGCCACGAAAGAGUGUUCAAAGCACUCUCACGCUUAUCAACUUAAUAAUGGUUUGGUUGAGGGUUUUAGGUCUCAUCACAUAUAAAUAUUCAUUUUAAUCUUUAUUAAAACAAUUUUGGUCCUAUUACAACUAUUGGUCCAUUUGAUUGAAUUUAGUUGUAUAUAAUACUCCCACUAUGCUUAUAAAACAGUUUUUAAAGCAAGAGUAUAUGAUACUACUAACAUAAACUUUGCAUUCAUUUGAUGGACUAUAUAGAUGCCUUAGGGCCUUAGGAUGACUAUGAACCUUUGAUUAGAUUCAACACGAGCCUAGUGUUGAAUCUCGGUCUAGGGAUGGUGAUUGAUUUUAGUUACGCGUUUAAUCACAUUAAGGCGUGUUGUCUUAGGGGCGUUGGACCCAACUACUUCAAUUUCAUGCAUAUCAAAUAAAGCAAGAAAGAAGUACUUCAAAGUAAAGAUGAGCUUAUGCUCUUUACAACAUUUGAAUGAUUCAAAUUACUUUAAAGUAAAGAAGAGCUUAAGCUCUUUUACAACAUUUGAUCAAAUCAAAUUACAACCAAAAUCUAAUCUACACAUUCCUAUGGUUCAAACAAAUUUGAAACGGCCUUUCACAUAGCUCAAUUAUCGUAGGCUUAGGUUCAUAAUCACCCUUUAAUUAAUUAACGCUUUAACUAAUUAAAUUGAAUGCAACAUUUUCAUUUGGUUUUUGUAUCCAUAAAAUUGAUUUAAAUGGAGCUGAAUGAAAUGAAAAUCCAAUUCUCAUUUAAAGAGACAAAACAAUUUUGUUCUCAACCUAAUUUGGGCCAAAAUGCAAUUACCACAACUUUUUGGGCUAUAUUGCAAAAACACAAACUUUUGGGGUUACUUUGUAAAAACACAAAAGUCCACUACUUCAUGUAAUUACAACUAGAACCCAAAAAUUCAACAAAUAUAAAAACUUCAUUAAAGGAGCAAAACAAUUUGUCCUUUGGCGUUUUUAGGCCUUAACGUCAAAACGUAAACUUUCAGGUCAAAAUACAAAUACACAAAAGUAUCAAAACUUUAUGUAAUUGCAUAAAAGCCCCAAAAAUACCCUAUUUUAAUAGGGUGGCCGGUUUUAGGGAAAAAAAAGAGAAGAGAUAAGUCCACAAAAAUUUGGAAAUUUUUCAACAAUGUCAUAAAGCCUUGCAAGUGGAAUUUGGUUGGUGUGAAUCAUAAAACCAUGCAAGUGGAAUUUGGUUGGUGUGUGUGUAAGAGAAGUACUUCUUACACACCCAUCACCAUUUCUAUCACCUUUCAAAAUAAAUGUCUUGUUGAUAGAAAAUUCACAUCAACCAACACAAAACAAAGACUUUAUGAAAUCAACCAAAACUUUGAAUCAAAACACCAAACUUUUUGUUCUUGACUAAAAUGUCAAGAAUAAUGAAGAACAUUCAUGAAAAACCCGUAAAAGCUUCAUGAACAUUUUUCAUCCAAAGACAUCCCAAAAACACUCAAACUUAAGGGAAAUAACAUAUAACCAAACUAGGGUACAUAGGGGUUCCAAAAGUUACUUGAAAACACUUUUAACAAGUCAAACAAGAACCCAAAAAAUCACCCUUUGGAUUUGGCCGAAAAUCCCCAAAAACUUGGCACCAAAUUUUAGCUCCAAUAUUCAUGCUCAUAUGAACUACAUCUACAACAUUUGAGAUGGCAAAUUUUCUAACAAAAUUUACAUUCAAAGAAACAAGAAUAAAGCUUGUAACAUAUUACAACUUUUAAAUCAAAACUAUGAACUACAAAACCCAAAAGGAUUCACCAACUACUAGACCUAGGCUCUGAUACCACUUGAAGGAAAUUUAGUGAAAAACAUGUUCAUUUAAGCAACAUCUAUAGCAUGCAAUUAACAAUUAAAAGGCGGAAUCAUGCUUGUAUGCACUUAAAACAAAACAUUAACCAUGAAAUUCAAAGCCUAGUAGAUUGGUGAACCAAGACUCAACUCAAAUCAAAGUGAGUUGAGAAAUUUAUACCUUUGUAGAUUCCUCUUUGCAUAAGCAAAGGCUAAUCACCCAAGGAGAGGGCCUUCAUUCCUUGCUUCUUAGAUCCAUGGAUUUGGAUGGAUGAAAUGGUUCUCCAAGUUCCCAAAAUUGAGAACCUCUAAGUCUCUACACCAAGGUUAGAUUGGAGAAGAAAUGAGUGACCUUGGAGGAGUUGGAUUGCUAGCUAAUCCCUCCAAGGGGGCCGGCCUCUUUAGAGAGAAAGGGAGAGACAUGUUCUCUCCAAUUUUUCUCCAAAAGAAACCCUUAAUGAAUUUAGGCUAUAAAGUGCUUUAUAUAGUCCCUUCAAAUAAGUGACCUAAAGAACCAAAAAGCCAUUCUUUUAACAUGGCCGGCAAAUUGAGGGAUUUGGGCUUUUGGGCCCUUGUGAAUCUUUAUUCAUUAAGUUGUCAUACAACUUAAGUCCAUGGGCUUUGACGUUCGAAGCCCAUUGGGCCUUAAGGUCCAAAACUAUCCCGAGGUCUUCAACGAACUUAUUCGUUUGAUUAAUUAACAUAUUAAUUAAUCCUUGGCAUAAAUAAUUAAACCAUUUAAUUAUUCUUACUCAUCUCCAUUGUUUCUUCAAUCUCCACCUUACACGGUGUACGAUCCAUUAGGUUCCUUUUAGCGAGGCAGUGGGCGAUUAAAACCAUUUCAAAUCGAUUGUGAAUUGAAACUUACUUUCAAUUCUCCCUUUAGUGAUUAUACACGUUUAGGGCUUCCACAAAUCAUGAGUGACACCUAGCAGCAUAUCAUGGUUACCCAAGCUAAUUAGAAGAGGUGGAGAACCUAUUCAGUUUAGGAUUACAAAUGCAAUACGGUCUUUCUCUAAUACAAUACUCUUGACCACAUUGUUUGGUUUGAUAGUUUAUUCAUGUCUACUAUCCAAUGUGAUUCGUGUGCUUAUAUGAUUACCUUGAAUGUGAUUUGGAACGACUUCCUAAAUCUCAUUCAUACUCUGGCCAGAGAUUCUUAAUCAUAUCAUAGAGUAUUCUCCCUCAAACGGUUUGAAGGUUAGAGAUCCCUUGUUGCGCAUUCACUUGCCUCCAUGGCUAAGUGGCUUAACCCCAACUAUGCCGUGGACACCCUCGAAUGGAGUGACUUUGACAUAAUCAAAGAUCAAGGACUUAACCAUAAGACAACUAUGAUGCCUCAGGUUAAAGGACUACUUUGCAUUAUCCCAACCAUGAGUUCUCAUGUGACAUGAAUAUGAGAACUCUUCGUUGAUCGUGUUCAGUGAACUCAUUCUCUAUUGAGCACCUAUGUACUUGUCUUGAUGUCACACACACCAAUGACUCGAGACUAGUCACUCUCCCUGAGAGAAGACACAGCACGUACUGAUCUUAACGGACUGUCAAUGCCCAAUUGGCAAUCCUAUGAUUAGGAACUUUUAGGAUAUGUAUACGAAAGAAUGGUCUCAUGAUCUAACUUCUUUAGAUUGCAUUCUCCCAAUCACAUAUUCCUUGGGCUUAUCGUUUAAGCAUAUAACAUGUAUAUGAGACGACUCAAACAAUAACCUUUUGCCCUUUAUAUUUAAACUACAUUAGUUUAACUUGUGAAAUGUCCGUAAAGUAUCAUCAUAUGAUUGGUUUUAGGGCACAUUUCCAACACUGAAAAGUAGUAUUCUAUGUAGACUUUAGGAUUUUCUUUGUUUUCCUUGUUGUUUUUUCUUUACUUGAACUCCUUCAGUCUUUUCUAGUCGUUUAUCAAUUUGGUUAGAAAAUUUAAUAAACUUGCUUCCUUCGCUUUUUUCCAUCUUCGCUUCUUUUUUUUAUGCCCUAACCUUUAAACUUUACAGACCAGCGGCAUGCAUGCUAUUUUUCUAUAAGUAGACAUGCCCGCGUGGCCUAUGCCCGUAGGUGUUGGUUUAGUACUUUGCAAAGUUAUGAGCCAUAGGGUCGGCAGUUGGACGUCUUACUUAUAGAAGCAGACAAGUUUGCAUAACCACUAUGUUGUUAACCUUGUCUUUCUCCAAUUCCAUAGGUUGUGUAGCAAGUAUCACAACACUUUAGGACUUAGUGUAGGUUGUUCCGCCCUUGGCAGAGGUGAAGCUUGUCGACUAUGUAGCAAGUCGGCAGUGGAUAAAGCUUCGUAUAUGCACGCUGACUUGUUUAACCUUUCAUAAGAAUGUGCGGUUGUAUAAGUCUAGUGUUGUUUUACUACUCGAAGGGCAAGUCAUAGGUAGUCUUCCAGAAACCAUAAGCUACCUUAGUGCACUCGAUAGCAACUUUAGGGUUUCAGGGCAGCCGUCCAUAGGGUGUACUACGUAAUGUGCCCCUCUGUCUCUAGGGCCCGGUUCCUUGCGGAUUAGGUCAAGAGACCCAAAAUCCUUCAGUUAGCUAAGUGUUGAAAAAGACCAUUAUGGCUACUUCUAGGAAUCCCGGUGCAAGCCAUUGUGCAUCUAGUUAUACUAAGGCAGCCCGGCUCAUCCACGUUUGGAUAUUCGGAGUGUAGAAUUUAAUCUCCUGCUUUGGAGAGCAGACCCAUAUGGGUGUCAGGGAAUUGGUUUACUGUCUCACAUUGGAGAGCAUGGUUGGUCCCCAAGGGGCGCAGUUCCUGCGAUGAGUCCCUAAUAAGGGUGUGGUCUUCUUUUGAAAAGCAGGAGUGAUCAGUUGUUGUAAGCAUGCAGCCAAACCAAGUUGUAAAUUACUUAUGAAUUUCUCAUUGAAAAACGAGUGAAACAAACGAAAAUUUAGCUAUAAAGUAGAAACUGCAUAACAACUGGAUAGUCUUCGCCUUGUGAGGUGGUGCUCGUUGAGCUACUUGAGUCUUCAAGCAUUGAUGUAGUAGAAGUUCACACAUAAUACUUCCUCAGAUUGUUAGCGUUCCACUGCUUCUCAAUCUCUUUAUCGUUCUGAUGUAAAAUAUUCUAACACUCAAAUUAAAACCUUAUGAUUGUAGUAUAUGAAAGUAGGGAUCGUUUUAGGCCGAGGAUUAGAAGGGCUGCUAAUCUACACAAAUUAAACUCUAAAACACUAAACUAGACUAAAAAACACAAAACUAGACUCUUAUGACUCAAAACUGACUCAAACUACUUAAAACAGCACAACAAAACAAGCAAAAUGACUCCAAACUAACACUAAGGAUGACUUUGGACGAAAAUUGAUUUUAACUUGACUCGAAACACUUAAAAACACUUAAAACCACAAAUUGGACAUAUUCUAACUAACUUGACAUAGCAAAGUAAAAGGGAUUGGGUUUUUGAUGAAUUUAAAGUAAAACCAAACAGAUUUAAGACUCUAAAUAACUUUGGACGAAAUUGGUGAUUUAAUGGGUGAAUGGCUAGCUAGAGGGUUCUUCUCCACACAUGACACACUUGCAUACAAAUUGAUUUCCAGUUUCUUUUCCAAUAAACAAUGAACCUCAAUGCCCCAGAUUAACCGUGAAAACCACUAAUUAACCCUCAAAUUUUCGUUACGCCAUUGAAUUGGAUAGACAACGCAUCGGCAACCAAAUUAUUCUUCAAUAGUUGCCUACAUGAACAACAUAAUAGAGAUACAAUUAAAGAUCAUUAAGCUUUGUGAAAAUCAUAAGCAUUGACAAUGCAUUCGUAACUAUUAUUGGAGAACAAUUCAGAAAUAAACAAAAAUAAUAGAAAUUCUAAUAUUUUAUUAACCAAAAUAUACUUGCUAUACAAAACGAAAAUUACACAAUAUAUAUAGAAAUUAAUGUUACUAACUUGAUUACAGAAGGUAGAGGCUAGCGUAAAAGCUAUGUCCUUCGAACAGUUUUUUCGUCCCACUCCUGUGCUUGUGGUUCUAUAACGUCUGCUCAAUCAGGAUUCAACUACCUAAUUCUACAAUCCGCACCGGAUUCUAGAACUCUAGCGAAUUUGCUUUUUGUGUGUUUACUCUCUAGAAAUUUCGUAUAGAAGGAAAGAGCAAGAAAAGAUGAUCCAUUUGGAAACUGUAAUUGCAGAUAUAUAGGUUGUUUCACACCCUUUCAAAUACAUGUUCAGUGUAUUUGAAGGUACACAACUCUUUCUAAGAGCUGUGUCUUUUAAUCAAAACGUUUUUAAUUAAUAAAUUAAUUAAAAACUUAAUCCGAAAAUUAAAAUUAAUGAAUCAGAUUAAUUUUAAAUUCCAAGGCCCCAAGUGCCCCAAGGCCCUUGUCUUGAUUAAUUAAUAUUAAUUGUAUUUAGGCUAUAUUAUAUAAGCCUAAUCCACACAGCCAUAAGGCCUAAGUCUUCAAUCCAUUUCCAAAUAGCCCAUGUUGUAAUUACUAGAUUAAAGCAUUAAAUCUAUAUAAAGGCCCUUUGGAAUCUUGUUUUCUCUAAUGUGGGACAAGAGUCUCAAAACUUCCAACAACUAUGACACCAUGAUACUCCUGCCAGGAAUUCACUUAACACGAUUGUGACUAGCAAACUCCACUACUUGUGAAUAUAAGUUCAUAACUAUUAGGUGAAAUUCCCUUAUAUUCUAGCAUCAAAUCCCUGCAUGUAAACUAAGUGUGCACCCUUAAUCAACAAACAAGAAUAAGUUCUGAAUCAAACAGUUAAGUAAAUUGCAUUAAUGAUUCAUGAAAUCACAACUGGAAGUAAUCAAUUCAUAUUGCAAAUAUGUUCAUGGCUUUGAAUUUCCCCCUAGCUAAAACGAGUUUAGCUCCUCAUGUUUGCAAUUAAACAAAGACAAUUAAAUUUAAACAUUGAAAACAAAGAUAGAAUACAACUAGAAAUGCUCCAACAAUCCAACAUCUUGAAUGGUAAGCACGGCUCCAAGGUCUCCUCUCCUUUCUCUUUGCAAAGAUGCGGCAAUAAAGGGAUGAAUGUGUAUGAUGGAUGAAGGGGACGGAUUUGUGAUGGAAGGUGGUUAAUUUCUGAGUCCUGCGGCACUUUAUAUUUAUAGGGAGAAUGUAAGGUACGGCUAGGGUGAGUAGGAAGAUAAUUAGGACUCCAAAUCAUCAAGGAAUAAGGAUACUUCUAAUCAAAUUUCAGGGAGGAAAAUAAUUAAUGUGUUUAGAUGGAUUUGGACUCCUAAAUUCAGAUGUAAAGGAUUUAGAAUAGGAUAAGGACUCCUUUUGCAGCUAGAGAUACGGUAGGAUAAGAUUAGGAUAUGAUAAGAUAAGGUUAGUUUGGAUAAGAGAAGGUUAGUUUGGAUAAGGUUUUGGAUAAUGUUUCUUCUUUUUGGCUGAUUCCUUAUCUUCUUUGUCUUGAAUUCAUUCUUCCAGAUUUGUAGCACAUUCCUAGCCUCUUGAACUUCAAAAAAGUCCAUCCACCUUGCUCCACUCAUGUGCUAUCCAUUCUUGGCCAAAAACUGCUCCAAAAUGCUCCAAAUUGCACUUUCUUGCCAACUUUGUUUAAACCUGAAAACACACAAAAAUAGCUUAAAACACUAUAAUAAAUAAGAGCUAACAGCAUAAAUGCAAGAAAACAAGCUAACUAAGUCGCAUAAAUAUGCUCCUAUCAAAUUCCCUCACACUUAGCUUUUGCUAGUCCUCAAGCAAAACGAAACAAACAAAACAAAACAUAAGCUAGACCUUCCAACAUUCCCUCAGGGAUUUCUAAUGAAACAUGACAUGCUAAAAAUCACUACUCCCACAGAUUUUAGUUAUCCUUACUCUCGAGAGCAUACUUAAUCACAGUUACCACUCACUAGCUCGCAUUUAAUCAAUUUAAAACAUGGUUUUGAUGGUUGUAACAUGCCUUAGAAAAUUCCCUCAAUUCCUCACGGGAUAUCAUAUAUACUAAACGUGAGUUUCCCUUGGCACUGUAGAUCGCCAGUGUCCGGACGGAACUGCCCUCGCUUCUCUGUUAUCUUUCCGUUUGUGUCCCUAUUUUCCACGCGUCGCUCAUUUUAUUCUCUUGACUUCGAGAGUCCUUAACGAGUUAAGGCUUUGUUCCUUCGUUGCUUUUCCUAAUUUUGGCUUUUGCUCAUUUUGUUUUGGCCGUUCUUUCUUCCAAUCCUCUGUUUCCCUGUGAUAUCUGUGCUUUCUUUCGCGGAAAGGGUUGUUGAUUUUCGUGGUUUAAAGGAUUUUGUGGUUGCCGGGCCGUUGUGCGUCUAUUUAGAUUUGGGAUUUUUUGCGUUCCGAGGGUUUCGACGUCUCUAAUUGGGGUAAAGAAUUCUUGCUGUUUCCCCUUUUUUCCGUUUGGGAUUUCUGGGUUGUGGCUGGGUUUUUGGCCGAUUUACACCUCUUUUCAAGGGUGGCGUCUUUGCAGCCUACUGUGGAACAAGUGUGAUCCAACUAAGGUAUAUUUUAUAAUCAUUUCUUUUGGUUUUUAUUUUUGGUUUUUCCUUUGUUUUGAUGAAACCUUAAUCGUUUCCUUUUAUUGUCAAUUGUGGUGCUCUCUUGGGUUUUCCCUGUUAGAGGAGAAUUUUUCGUUUUUGUUCUUCAGUUGGUAUAUCUCUAAUUUGCUGGUAUUUGCAACGUUGCUGUAAUUUUUUGGGUAUUUUUUUGCACUUCUGCUUCGGACAUGGAUUGGUAAUUAUUGGAUUUAAAUGGAUUCGUAGUUUUUGAUGAGAGGAGUUGUUGAGGUUGUGUGAAGGUUUGUUUUUCUGGAUUUUAUGCUGCAAGGGGUUACAAACACGGAGAUGAGGAGAGGAAACAUUAGUUUAGAUUGUGAGCUUUUUUUUUUUUUUUUUUUUUAUAUAUAUAUAUAUGUUCUUGGUGAUAUAAACUGUGUGAGUGCAGUUGUUUUAAAAUUAUUCGUGUGUGCUUUUUAUGGUUUUGCUUUUUUCCAGUUUGGAUUAAAAUGGAUUUUGAAUUUUUGAGAAGAAAUUAAAAGGGUUGUUGGAAUUUUGGAAGCCUUGUGUUUUUGGUGAACACGCAGACAAUCUUGAAAAUUUGUGUUAAAAGAUUAAUGUUUGUAUAUAAAAAUUGCAACCAUGUGGUAAAGAACAAUGGUUCAUUAAGCUAAAUGUCAAUGGACUAAUCCAUGUGUUGACUGUGUUGAAAGGCACAAAUUUUUUUGACAUGUUUGGGUUUCAUCUCAUGUGGAUUAGUGGAAAAACAAAAUGGUAUUGCUCUGACAGAUUGUUGGUCGCUUACAGGUCUGAAGACUAAUAUUACGAAUCGUGAUUCUAAAUCAGCUUAUCCUUAGUUCACAAAUACCAAGAUCGUUAUUUAUCUGUGAGUACAUGUGAUUUAUGAAUUGACAUUGUCCCUGGGUUUUUUGUACUAAAUAAAUUUCUAUAAUUAGUUUGGUGUUUUCAUUUCGUUUGCUUAUUUGAUUUUCUAUUGGACCGCAUGGAUUAAGUUGCAGACAGAGAUAGUAAACUCUGUUUCAUGCUCUUUUUGGGUUUUGGCUGCUUUAGGUUUGAUUUGAAAGAAACUCAGAAGAAAAAAAAAAUGAAGGGCGGUGAUGUAGAAUGGUUAAAUUGCAAUUUCAGUUUUACAUACUUAAACUUAAGAUGUGUGCGCUGCAAAGUGAGUUGGCAAAAGAAGCCCUUUAGACGCUUUUUGUUAAUAUCUCAUAGGCUUUGCUGUUUGAUUUCAGAAAUUUUAUGCCCAUCUUGGGCUCGCUUCGAACUUGGUUGAGACCGAUCUAAUCCGGCGUUUCCAGGUGAGUUUUGCAUGUUAAUCAGCUUAUAUGGUUUCGAUCUUUUGUUUUUCGUUGGAUCGUUAUUGUACGUGUCUGAUGCAUUUUGUUUUCCAGUUUCGGGAGACCGUUCCUUUUAGAUUUUUGGAUUUUCGAUUCUGAUUCUUGGAACUCUCUGUGCUAAAGGUAUAUAAAUGUAUUAUUUGUUUUUUCCUUUGUUUUCUUUGCGCCUGAAUUUCUUUUUUUUUGUUUUGUUUGGUGAUUUGGGACCUUUUUUGUGCUUGUUUGGGUUGUUAAUUGGUAAUGCAUAUUUUCUUGCUGAUUUUUGUGCUAGCAAUGUUAUUUAAAUCCACAGCUGCUUUUUUUCAUAUGACUUGCUGUGAUGGUUAUGCUUGAUUCAUAAGAUUUGAGGUAGUCGUGAUAAAAUUAGAAGAGUGAUAUCUACGUUAUUUUGGAUUUGUGAGAGUGAUUUGUCAGAGCAAUGAGUAAAUUUUCAUAUGUAGUGUAGGGUCAAGUUUAAUAAUCAUUAAUGCGAUUUGGUAUAUGUCUGGUAGAAAUGCUAUCAAAUUGUAGAUACACAGUUUGUUGGUGUGCAGCAAGGGGCUGGAAAAUUUUUUCAGUAUGUUUUUUAUGGUUUGGCUUUUUUCUGUUGGGCCUUUCCCGGCUAAAACAGUAUUUUGCAUUUUGGUUGCUCAGUUAAUAAAUUUGAGAUCUGCUGGCACCUGUGACGCUCUUCAGUUUUAUGUCCUGCUUUUUUCCAGUUUUAAAAUGCAUUGAUAAUUGUUGGAUUCAAAUAGAUUUAUAAUUUUUGCGAAGAAAUGAGAGGAUUCGUUGGAAUUUUGGAAAGCUUUGUCUUCAUGUUUUACAAACAGGGAGAGGAAGAAAGAAAACAUUAGUUUAGAUUGCAAUUUUAAAACUUUUUAUGUUGUUAGUGCUGGAAUCAAUGUGUUUUGUUGCGAAAUUGAUAAUGUGUAAAGUUAUUAGAAUUUUGGAAAACUUUGUCUUUCUCACUUUUAUCUGGCAGAGGGAACACAACUCUUACGUAUAUGAUUUCAAGUUUUUCCUUUAGAAAUUCAAGCUCUAUUGGAUACAUGAGGUAUAAGAGUCUGUUUGGGAUAUUUUCAAGUUGUACUGAUUCCUGAAAAAAAAACCAUGCUUAAGAGUAAUCAUAUUUCAGUUUUUAUUGAAUUCAGGUAACCAUCUUCAGUUUUUUGCUUUGAUCUGAAGGCUUUGUUUUGUUCAGAUAUCAAAAUUGGGCAUGAGUUCAUAUGUUUUUCAAUGUUUUUAUUCCGAUUUAAUAAUGUGAUUUAAUGGUGCGAUGCUGAUUUAGGCUAUAAAUACAGAGGCUUUUCAAUAGGCAAGUUUGCAACAUGGAAUUCAUAGGCAGUUGUAUCAUUAGAUGAAAUAUACUAGAUCUAAUCCUUAGACAUCAUUUUUCACUUUGAUUAAGAUGUGUGCCUGCCUUCUCAGUACAAAACUGCCUUACAUAUCAUUUUUUAAGCAUUUUUACAUCUAAUAUUUUCAACACCCGUAGCAACGUGCAGGCACUAUUGCUAGUACUCUCUAUUUUCACACAGAUUUCCUAACUACUCCCUAUACUAGGUAUAUGUGAGAAGAUUUAUGUAAACAUGUAGACUAGCACUCACAUACGUUAUAAUCAAAGAAGGCAAUUUCUGUAAUUAUUAAUGCAUGUAUAUAUGAUCUCAUGAACGGAAUGCCACUACUUAGACGCAAGAACCAGGGAUUCCAUAUGCUCGUACAAAUUUCAAACUCGACAGAUUGAAACACACAACAACCAAAAUAGAAGUCUAAGGAUUGUAAUGGGGCUAAGGGUAUUAGCUAACAAAGAAAGGUCAAGGAUAAACAAGGGUUCUUAAAGCAAUAGUAAGCAAAAAUAAUGAAAUUGACAUUUAGAAUUUACUAUUGAAUGCACCAACUAACUUUAAACACAAGGGGAAUUCGUACACACUUAGGGUCUUAUUCAAACUUUUUGGACCAUUUUUUCAACAACCAAUACUUGUGAGUUCAUUCUCACUUAUUUCACAACUUUUUUUCCUUUCUUUUUCCACCUUUUCUUCUUUUCAUGAUUUUUUUCUAUAUGUUUUUUCUUUUCUCGUGCCGUACUCAUUCUUUGGCACAUAAAACGUACAACCCAAUAGAUUUGCAACGAGAAACCUUCCAGCACACUUAUUUUCUGCAAUAUGUUGAUCAAAAGGAAUUCCCUCUAAAUUAUGCUUCACUAUCCUUUAGGAACAAGGGUAUGGAUAGUCCUAUUCUAGGCUAGCUUGGGAUAGGCCUGGCAAACGGAUUGUGUCUGUCGUGUUCGUGUUGUUUUCAUGUAACACCUAUUAUCUUAAUGGGUCGUGUCGUGUCAAACCUGUUAUCUUAACAGGGGUAAAGUGAUCCGACCCGUUAUAACCCGUUAUGACCCGUUAAGAAAAAUAUAUAUAUAUAUUUUUUUAAAUUUGCACAUACCACACUUUGCCACAUAAAUAUUACUUCAAAACAUUAAAACACAUGAUUUAAUAUAUAUAUAUAUAUAUAUUAUAUAAUUGACACACCCCGAUCCUAGAAUCAAGGCGUGCUGGCCGUCACGUGAGCGUGAGGUAGCCAAAAGUGUGACACGGAAGCAAGAUAUAACAGAAAUAUGAAUGAAUUUAAACCAACCACUAGCAGAAUAGCCUACUAGCAUACAAGAGAGAGUUAUAAAGUAAAACACACGAAUUCAGAGCGUAGGUAUAAGUGCAGUCAAGUAGGACCAUAAUUAAAGUACAACACCCGCAGGUGAGUCCUACAUGCAGAACGUCUGUCAGAAUGCCGAAAAAGACCUCGUGAGCCACCAACUGCUAACUAGAACCUGGAGGGGCGCAAAACAAAGAUGAGUGGGUCAGUAAAACCAAAGAUUUUCCAAAAACAUUUCAUUUAAAACGUUUCUAACCCCUCACUGUAAAACCUGUAUACUUUCCCACAAAAAUAGUAUAUAAACGUAUAUAUACAUAUAUCAUCAAAACUCCGCUCACCAUCUAUCAACAUAACAUCUCAGAAAGAAUAUGCCAUGCCAUGCCAAAAUAUAAUAUGAAUGCAUCAAUAUAACUCAGGUGAAAUAAUAAAUCAACCGGAGACCCUACAGUGGUCCUGUACGGCUGAUUCUAUAGCUCACUAUCCCAUCCAGCCGGAGUCACCAACUGUGACCUGUACGGUACUACACUACACAUAAGUCGGAACUACCUAUAGUAGUCUGUACGACUAAGAUGGUGAAAUAAUACGCUCUAGUGCUUCUCUCAUCAAUCAUCUGUGCACAUAAUCUAAGGUCACCUACCAGUCGGAACCCCUCUAAUGGUAUGUACGACUGGCAUGUCGGAACCACCUCUAGUGGUCUGUACGACAUCCACCUACUUGGAUCCAAGGCGAGCAUGCGGUGUGGUGAAUAAUAUAAGCACUAACACCUAGGGUGCAGGUUAUGAGCUUCCAAUGCAAUUCACAUAAAAUAAAUCGUAUGAAUAAUGUAAAAACUCACCUGUGCGUCAACAGCGUCAAUUCACAUAUAUAUGCAUCAAUUAUCAAUUCAAAUAUCUCAUCGAUUGCAUGCAUGGCAUUUUAAAACAUAUUUUCAUAUAAUUGCAUUUUCUGGGAAAAACAGUAGUAUAUAGGUAAUACGAAAACAAAACUAGCCACUCACUGAUAAGUCGAUGGGUCGUAACCCCCGUGACGUCCCUGGAUGUGCUCGUCCUCGGGAUAGGUGUCACCUAUAUGCGAAACAACUAUAAAAACGUUAAUUUAAACACAUAACCAACAAUUCGAAAUAACUUCUCAUACAAUGCUCAAUUUGGGUAUAUGAAUAUACCACAUCGACCUACUCGACGUCACGGACGUCGAGGAUUUUUAGAAAAAAAUUUAGGCUUGCCACGUGCCCUCACGCGCCGUGGGUGGCAUGGGCCUACGCGCCCCCACGAGCAUCAUCUUCCUCAGCCAGUCGCCGGACUGGUUUUUUUUUUCCGGUGGCCGGAUUCCGGCGAGUUUUAAAAAUGCUUGUUCUCCUUCGUUUCUCAACCGAUUUCUUUGAAUUUUAUAUCAAUUUGAAGCCCUCAACAUGUAGAAUCACGAUGGACUAGUUUCAAGGUCUAAAAUUCACUAAAUUUUACCUAGGGAAGCACGAUAGUUCGGAAAUUUUUGAGAACCUCCGUUCUCGGUCCUCCGACAUCCAAAUAUCACCAACGAAGUACCCCGAAGCUCUUGAGGAUGUCCUUAAGCUCACUGUGAGCUUGAAAUUCCUUGAAAUGCAAGAUUUCACGUGUGCAUGAACAGUGCACAUUUUUGGGGUUAGGGUUUCACGACGAUUCCGAGGGUUUCACUUCCUAAAACUAGUACCAAUCAACUCAGAACAUCAAGAGGGUGAAGAAUAAUACCUUAUUUGCUUCGAUCCAUGAAGUUUUGGAGGGUUUUGGUGUUGUCCGUACGAUCGAGGGUGAGAGAGAGUGAGAAAGUCGUGAGGGAGGAGAGAGAGAGACACGGGGAAGAGGGGGAAGGAAAGGUAAGUCCGUGUGUGAGGGUGUGGUCCAACCAAAACAAUCCCACUUCAAUCCCUAACCACACAAAUUUACAACUCAAUUUUCUCCAAAAGUUUAGGGAUGAUAAUUAGUCCAUAAAAUAUAUACAUAUGUCAAACACGUACCUUAAUACCCGUCAAGGGUAUUUUCGUCAUUUCACGCUCCCGAUAACAAAAUUUCGGGACGGGCUGUGACAUAAUUAUUUUAGUUUUUAGGGGUAUAAAAUUGUCAAAUUAAUGUAUAUAAUUAUUAUAGUUUAUUCAUACUCAUUAAGUAUAACAUAAUAUGUUGUGGUAUCCACUAGUGUAAUUUUUUAAAUUGAAGAUCAAAUUCAUUCAUUGUAUUCAUAUAGGAUCAAGGAGUGUAGCUAUAAAAAUCAUCAAAAUCAGAGUUAAAAUAGCCGUUAAAUCAUUAUUUUUCUUUUUAUAACCAUAGAAAUUUUUUGUCUCGUUACUUGAUCUUUGAAUGUUUGUUUUUUACAAUUUUUGGCGUAUGCGAUCUCGAAGUAUAUACAAACAUGUUUGACGUUUGGAUCGUUGAAACUAGUUUCGUAGAAUGCGUAUCCCAUCUAAACAAUAGAUUUACUAACACUUAAGAGUUUAUUCAUACUUUCAUUAAGUAUAACAUAAGAUUUUGUGGUAUCCACUAGUGUAAAUAUUUUAAAUUGAAGAUCGAAUUCAUUCAUUGUAUUCAUAUAGGGUCAAGGAGUGUAGCUGUAAAGAAUCAUCAAAAUCAGAGUUAAAAUAACCGUUAAAUCAUGAAUUUUCUUUUUAUAACCGUCGAAAGGUUUUGUCUCAUUACUUGAUCUCUAUAUGUUUGUUUUUUUGCAAUUUUUGGCGUAUGCGAUCUCGAAGUAUAUACAAAUAUGUUUAACGGUUGGAUCGUUGAAACUAGUUUUGUAGAAUACGUAUCCCAUCAAAACAAUAGAUUCACUAACACUUAUGAGUUUAUUCAUACUUUCAUUAAGUAUAACAAGAUUUUGUGGUAUCCACUAGUGUAAAUAUUUUAAAUUGAAGAUCGAAUUCAUUCAUUAUAUUCAUAUAGGGUCAAGAAGUGUUGUAAAAAAUCAUCAAAAUCGGAGUUAAAAUAACCGUUUAAUCAUGAUUUUUCUUUUUAUAACCGUGUUGACCCUAAAAUCUACCAAGCCUACGUGGCGCGCAGGCCGAGUAUAUUCUAAGCUAACUACGUCCUUCGGUGAUUGCGGGGCGUGCCAACUCGUCGGCCGAGCUCGGCCGAGGAGUAAAUUUGAUGAUGUUGCGUUGAGCGCGCUGCUGACUUCUGUGUCUUGCGAUUGCGGCCGAGGAAGGAACAAUUCUCGGCCUCUUGGGUUCUAGAGCCUGAAGACAAGGCUGCUAAUUUGCGAAGUUCAAUCUCAAAUUCGGCUGUCAAUGUGCCGAAUACAGUAACCUGGUAACACCCCACUUCGCCGAGAAGGCUGAUGAGAUGACCUCGACCAAUGAGGAUUCGGAAAUCCUUCUCGACCGAGACUUGGAUAGGUAACCAGUCGUCCUCGCCGUAGUGCUGUUGAUGCCAACGGAAGAUGCUGCGAGAUCGGCUGAUUCUACGGUGACAGAGCUAUCUAUGCCGACUUAAGAUAUCACGGUUGCCUUCACAGUGCUGUUGAUGCCAACGGAAGAUGUGUCGGCGAAAAAAGAAAAUAAAAAAUCUCAAGGUGUUGAGAAAGUUUGCGCAGGGCAGUUUUGUGUGUGUUGGAGAGGUCCUCUUGAAUGAUGCACAUCCUCCUCUAUUUAUAGCACUAGAUACCUUUGAAGUCGAGUCAAAACCCUACUCGAACUAGGUCUUCUUCUCCGGAUCAAACACCCACUCGACCAGUCCUAUGUUUACUAGGAUUGUGAGCCUAGUCCUCUAUUGAGCCGGAUUCACUUCCGGGUUAUUACCCUUGCCGAGACUACUUAUCGCGUUAGGACUCGACUAGUAAAUGUAAUAUGACCUAGCCGACCUAGGUUUAGGAGCCCACGUACUAAAUGAUCCAAGGCUCCCCUGUCGCCAGGCCUCCCGGGCCGAGAGUGGUUCUAUACUCGGCCCAACAUGUUAAUUUGAGCCCAAACACUCUUACUUGAGGAUAUAAUUUGCAUCAUAUCCAUCCCGUUUAAGAAUAUGUCAAGAUAAUUCAAAUUAAAAGAUAAUCAUGAUAAAAACCAUAAUAUUAUCUUUUAACAAAAAUAUUUUCACUUUUCCAUCCGACGGCUGAGAACUAUGUUUACUCUACGGUCUCGAUUACACGGGCCGAUGAUGUAAAUUUGGGUCCAAACAUUGCCCCCAGUUUCCUUGAACUUCGGCUCGUAAGCCGAAUGAUUAAGGAAAUUAAGUAUCUCCAGCCUAAUCAGAUGUACUUUUGACCGUCAUCCCUUGCUGCUGUUUACUCACGGCUCCUUUCGACCAAAGAACAACUCAUGGCCGAAGAUAAACAGUUAUGAACCAGGGUCGAGAAGAAUUGGAAUUGGGGUCGAGGAUAAAUUUGGCCGAGGUCGAGAAGAGUCUUUUCUUGGCAGCUCGGCUUGCCUACAUAUAUAUAUGCAUAUCAAACCCAUUGUCAGCAAUCAUGACUAUAUACAUAUAUAUAUAUAUAUAUAUAUAACCUCAAAACAGCAACCAUGACUUAUUCGGCCAAACUUUGACCCUAGCAUCUUCCUGAUUAAAUGGUUUUGAAACUUGUCCCCACACUUUAACCAUAGGCAUGGUACUAUUGAUAGCAGCGAAAAUAACUCUUCUCGGGUCGGCUUGUUUGUCGAGCUCGGCUAAAAACAAAAUGACCAAAAUUUUGCCGAGCACACCACUUGUUGCCCCUCUUAUUUUCUUAAGUAUCGGUCAAGGGCCGAAUGGUUAAGAAAAUAAUUUAUUAUAUAUAAUUAUAUUUUUAGCAAACGAAAAGAAAAGUGGCCGAAACGUAGUCAGGAGGAGGCCAACGAUGCUUUAUUCCAAGCCAAGAUCUUUUUACAUCAAAAUUUUCACUUUGACAUUUUCCAAAACCGAAUAAAAGAUCAUCUCCCAAUAUUUCUGACUUGGUGAAAUAUUUUGCAUUUUCGGCCGCCGAAUGUGUGGAACAAGUAUUAUGCCCCCCAGGCAUAAUUUCGGCGUUUAAUUCAAACAACUUAGCCGAAUAGGAUUUCUCCAUAUCGACUUUAUCGCCAAUAAUCAUAUCAAUUGGCGUAGAUUCUUGGGCUAGGCCAAUAUCUCGGCCUCGUUCGUCAUUGGAGCACUCCUCUGACGAAUCAUUUUCUGAGUCGAUUUGUGGCUCAGAAACUUUAACUUUUUCUUCUAGGCCUACCACACUUCCAGUCUCGACCGAAAAAAUAGGUGGCCUAGGUUUUUCUUCGUGGCCGACCAUAUCUUCAGCCUCGACCGAAAAAAUAGGUGGCCUUUGUUCUUCGGCCAAAUUAACAAUUUUCUUAGGCCGAUGUCUGAUUACGGCCGGAGCGAAAAAUUGCCCCCCGGCCUUUGAGCCUAACCAUUUUUCAAAUGGAAUUGAUCUGUAAUCAGAAACGUAAGGAAAAUUUUCUUCAUCUAGCCAGGCAUUAAAUCGAGCCCUGUCUUCAUUUACCCAUUGCCUUUGCAGGGUAACAUGAGCUUUUAUUCUCAACAUGCAAGCGAAUGACUUUUGCAUCUCUCCAUGGCCACGAAGAACUUUUUCCACUUCCAAAGAUCUUUUACAUUCCUCAUUGUGUUUUCUCAAUUCCUCUAGGAGCUCGUACAAUCGGCUACGUUGAGCCAGAUUGGAAUCUUGAUAUAUCAUAUGAACUUCGUAGUAUUAGCACUGGGUCCCACUGGGCGUGCCAAAAUGUUGACCCUAGAAAUUACAAAGCCUACGUGGCGCGCAGGCCGAGUAUAUUCUAAGCUAACUACGUCCUUCGGUGAUUGCGGGGCGUGCCAACUCGUCGGCCGAGCUCGGCCGAGGAGUAAAUUUGAUGAUGUUGCGUUGAGCGCGCUGCUGACUUCUGUGUCUUGCGAUUGCGGCCGAGGAAGGAACAAUUCUCGGCCUCUUGGGUUCUAGAGCCUGAAGACAAGGCUGCUAAUUUGCGAAGUUCAAUCUCAAAUUCGGCUGUCAAUGUGCCGAAUACAGUAACCUGGUAACACCCCACUUCGCCGAGAAGGCUGAUGAGAUGACCUCGACCAAUGAGGAUUCGGAAAUCCUUCUCGACCGAGACUUGGAUAGGUAACCAGUCGUCCUCGCCGUAGUGCUGUUGAUGCCAACGGAAGAUGCUGCGAGAUCGGCUGAUUCUACGGUGACAGAGCUAUCUAUGCCGACUUAAGAUAUCACCGGUUGCCUUCACAGUGCUGUUGAUGCCAACGGAAGAUGUGUCGGCGAAAAAAGAAAAUAAAAAACUUCAAGGUGUUGAGAAAGUUUGCGCAGGGCAGUUUUGUGUGUGUUGGAGAGGUCCUCUUGAAUGAUGCACAGCCUCCUCUAUUUAUAGCACUAGAUACCUUUGAAGUCGAGUCAAAACCCUACUCGAACUAGGUCUUCUUCUCCGGAUCAAACACCCACUCGACCAGUCCUAUGUUUACUAGGAUUGUGAGCCUAGUCCUCUAUUGAGCCGGAUUCACUUCCGGGUUAUUACCCUUGCCGAGACUACUUAUCGCGUUAGGACUCGACUAGUAAAUGUAAUAUGACCUAGCCGACCUAGGUUUAGGAGCCCACGUACUAAAUGAUCCAAGGCUCCCCUGUCGCCAGGCCUCCCGGGCCGAGAGUGGUUCUAUACUCGGCCCAACAUGUUAAUUUGAGCCCAAACACUCUUACUUGAGGAUAUAAUUUGCAUCAUAUCCAUCCCGUUUAAGAAUAUGUCAAGAUAAUUCAAAUUAAAAGAUAAUCAUGAUAAAAACCAUAAUAUUAUCUUUUAACAAAAAUAUUUUCACUUUUCCAUCCGACGGCUGAGAACUAUGUUUACUCUACGGUCUCGAUUACACGGGCCGAUGAUGUAAAUUUGGGUCCAAACAAACCGUCGAAAAGUUUUGUCCCGUUACUUAAUCUCUGAAUGUUUGUUUUUGCAAUUUUUGGCGUAUGCGAUCUCGAAGUAUAUACAAACAUGUUUGACGGUUGGAUUGUUGAAAUUAGUUUUGUAAAAUGCUUAUCCCAUCAAAACAAUAGAUUCACUAAUAUUUAAGAGUUUAUUCAUACUUUCAUUAAGUAUAACAUAAGAUUUUGUGGUAUCCACUAGUGUAAAUAUUUUAAAUUGAAGAUUGAAUUCAUUCAUUGUAUUCAUAUACGGUCUAGGAGUGUAGCUAUAAAAAAACAUCAAAAUCAGAGUUAAAAUAACCGUUAAAUCGUGAUUUUUCGUUUUAUAACCAUAGAAAAGUUUUGUUUGGUUACUUAAUCUCUGAAUGUUUGUUUUUUGCAAUUUUUGGUGUAUGCGAUCUCGAAGUAUAUACAAACAUGUUUGACGGUUGGAUCGUUGAAACUAGUUUCGUAGAAUGCGUAUCCCAUCAAAACAAUAGAUUCACUAACACUUAAGAGUUUAUUCAUACUUUGAUUAAGUAUAACAUAAGAUAUCCACUAGUGUAAUUUUUUAAAUUGAAGAUCAAAUUCAUUCAUUGUAUUCAUAUAGGGUCAAGGAGUGUAGCUGUAAAAAAUCAUAAAAAUCGGAGUUAAAAUAACCGUUAAAUCAUGAUUUUUCGUUUUAUAACCGUUGAAAAGUUUUGUUCGGUUGCUUGAUCUCUGAAUAUUUGUUUUUUGCGAUCUUUUAAUGAUGUGAUCUCGAAGCAUAUACAAACAAGUUUGACGGUUAGAUCGUUGAAAUUAGUUUCGUAUAAUUCGUAUCCCAUCAAGUUCAAUGGUAUAUAUAUAUAUAUAUAUAUUUAUUAAGUAGAUUUAAAUCUAUUUAUAUGUACGUAUAAUUAUUAUAGUUUUUAGGGGUAUAAAAUUUAAUUUAAAAUUAUAUAUAUAUAAUUAUUAUAGUUAAUAUUUUGCGGGUAUAAUUAUUAUAAUUAUUAUAGUUAAUUUAAUAUAUAUAUAUAUAAAUUAUAGUUUUUUUUAGGGUUAUAAAAUUAAUAAAUUAAUAUUCUGCUUAUUGUGUAUCGUGUUACUCACGUGUAUAGUCGAACCAACCCGUUAUCUUAACAUGUGCUUAUUGGGUUACCCGAUAACGACCCAAUUCGUUAUCGUGUCGACCCGAAUACCUGUUAAUUUCGUGUCGUGUCAUGUCGGGUUAUCUGGUCGUGUCAGAAAUUGCUAGGCCUAGCUUGGGAUAAUGUGGCUAACAAAGAAAAUAGGCUAAAUAAGGCUCAAAAGGGUUAAACCUACAAAACAAAGGCAUGGGAUGAAAGCUUUUUGGCUCUGGUUGUAACUACUAAACAACUUCAUCUUAUUAUAUGUUAUGCACUCAAUUUUAAGCUUUGAAUGAAACAGGCAUGAGUUUUAGUAUUUGGAACUAUAAUAAUGAAAACGCAUUCUAAGUAGCAACCAAGCAAAGAAUAAUGAGAUUAUGCAACGACUUUAGAAAAUAAGAAAUCACAGAUCAAUAACUUUCCAAAUAAAGUAUAGGCUCAAGUCUUUGAGGAUUGUAGCGUUAGUUUGAGUUCCUUCCUUCAAGCAUGUUACAAAAAAUGAUUUUGUACUUUGUGAUUACAUGUGAAUUCGUUAAUGACAAUUACAACCAAACAUUAACCAAAGAGCAUAUCAAACUUCCACCCAUGUUUGUAACUUUCUUUAACAGUCAUACAAUUAAAAAUCAAAUCCUCAUCAUUGUGUUGGAAGGUACCCUAAGAUACAAACAAACAAAAACAACUCUAAAACGAUUUUUUUUGGGUUUUUCAAAACUUUUUCUAUUUUUUUUCUUCAAAUUUUCGUAUUUUUCUUUCAAAACACACUAAAGCACUUCAAAACACACUAAAAACAUUUAAAAAUAGUGAGAAACAACUCUAGAAAUGCUAGGUGGUAAAAUCCUACGAAUUUCCAACAAAAACACUUGUUUACCCCCCCCACACUUAAACCAAACAUUGUCCUCAAUGUUUUAAACAUAAACUCACACAUAAGCAAACAAACAACACAACUAACAAACAUGACAAUUAUGGCAAAGAAAAAGUAAUAAAGAGUAAAGUUGAAGAACGCAAAUCUGGUUAUGGAGCUGAAGAUUCAUAGGUCUUCUUUAUUUGAACGCAUGGGUUGUCUCCCAAGAAGCACUUGCUUUAACAACCAGUUGAAUGAUACCUCCUUUUUAAGUUUUAUUGGAAACCACGGCAUGGAAGGGUAUUUCCUCCACAACCUGCCCCUCGAAACACUUCAUACUUUGGAUCUUUGAAUGGAAAACGAUAGUGAUCCUUCUUGCUUGUGGUAUUUUGCUUCUGCCCACCACCUUGAAUUCGAUUAGGUACCUGCACUAAAGAAGGUAACAACCUAUUAUUUGAAAUGGGAAUUGGAAUUGGAAUAGGUUGCUCACCAAUGUGCUGCGAUGAAGUGGCAACACAGUCAACAGAUGCACAAGGGGUGCUCUCGGCCAGAUUUGACGGUUUGUGUUCCUUGCGCUUUACUCCAAUUUCCUCUUCGUUGGUGGUUCAAAAUUCAUAUUUCUUAAUUGGUGCUGAACUUUCCUGCCCUAUAUUUUUAAUUACAUCAAUGGCAAAAAAAGGACGAACAUCAUUAGGAUUCUUAAUAGAUUAAGAAACUUUAAAGUUGAUCAUAUCACCACCAAACUCCGUAGUUAAGGCUCCCUUGGCCACGUCAAUCUUGGUGUGGGCUGUUUUCAUGAAAGGUCAUCCAAGUAAGAUUGGCAAUGGUGGAGAGUGGGCUGAGUCCUCCAUGUCAAACACAUAGAAAUCUGAAAGAAAAAUCAAGUGGUCUACAUGCACCAAAACAUCUUCCAAAACUCAUUUCGAAUAUGCAGUAGAACGAUCAGCUAAGUGGAUAAUAACUUCAUCAGUUUUAAGCUCUCCUAGAUUCAUAGAUGCAUAAACGGAAUAUGGCAUCACAUUAAUGGAAGCACCUAAAUCUAGCAUAGCAUGUUCAAACCUUGUAUUACCAAUUACACAAGGGAUAGUGAAACUACCUGGAUCUUUGCAUUUAGGUGGUAGCUUUCUUUGCAACAUUGUAGAGACAUUCUCACUUACAUGUACCACCUCCAUCUCCGAAAUCCGUUUCCUUGUUGUACAAAGCUUCUUCAAAAACUUAGCAUACUUUGGAAUUUGCUUUAUUGCAUCAAGGAGUGGGAUAUUGAAUUGCACCUUCCUAAAAGUCUCUAAGAUGCCUUUUUCAUCAUCUUUGGUCCUGACUAGCAUAAAUCUGCGAGGGAAAGGUGCAUUGGGUGGAAUAGGGUUAGAAUAAGUCAAAUUUGGAACAACCUUACCUGUGGUGGAUGACUUAUAAGCUGUAGGGGGCUGCGGCAAGGGUUUUUCUACCCUUGCCGUGGGCUUUGUUUCCUGUUCUUCUUUUUGCAGCAUCUUUUCAUCCUCGUUAAGGCCUUGUUUGGAUGGUUUUGGGUGAUUUCCAAGCUCCUUGCCACUUCUCAACGUAAUGGCCUUGGCGGUUUCAAAGCAUUCCUUGGAUUCACAAUGGUUGAACUAGGAAGUUUGCCUUGUUCACUAAACUGCCCAAGGAACUCUGAAAUCUGCCCUAUUUGCUUCUUCAUGUCACUCAUCUCCUUGUCUUGAUUUGCUAUUCCAUUAUUUUGAUUUUGUAAUCCUUGCGAUACAGAAGUUAGUAAUUGAAUAGCUUGAUCAUUAUCAAAUAGCAAACCUGAGUUUGGUUGAGCUGUUUUUUAUUGAGGUUGAGAUUGUGCGAAUGGCCUUUGAUAUAUCCCAAGCGGUGGUUGUCGAAAUCCUCCUUGUUAAGGUUGUUGAAGCUCCCUCAACUUGAAAUUUGGGUGAUCUCGCCAUCUCAGAUUGUAUGUAUUUGAGUAUGGAUCAUUCCUUUGCUUAUUUUGGCCUUGAUAACCUAUGGCAUUGGCAUUUUCCCAUCCUCCAUUCUCUAUCAAUUGAGGACAUUGAUCAUUGAGAUGUCCUUGCAUAGAGCAUACACCACAAACUGCCGCACCUUGCAUUUUGGUUCCAUAAAAAACCUGUGACACAAGAACAGUGAGAUUAGCCAAUUGGGAUUGAAUUUCAGAAAUUGUACUUACCUCAUUCACUUGUUGAUGCCGUGGGGGGUCUCUUCCUCCAACUCCUUCAUAUUGUUGUGCAUUCAAGGCUCGAUUUGCAAUUAAGAUCUUUCCAGCGACUGGAGUCUUGUUAACCAAAGCAUCUCCCACUGAAGCAUCAAGCAUUUGUUUCUCAAUUGGAAGAAGUCUUUCGUAAAAAUAUUGAAUUAAAAGCUCCUCUUUCAUCUGAUGUGGGCAAGAUGCAACUAACGUCUUGAAACGCUCAUAAUAUGUUGGAAACGAUUCUCCUUGGUUUUGUUGAAUGCCACAAAUUUUCUUCCUCAAAAGAAUGACUCUUGAAGUUGGGAAGAAUUUAUCUCAGAACGCUCUCUUCAUGCUUUCCCAAGAAGUGACGGUUCCAGGUGCUAAUUCGUAAAACCAAUCUUCAGCCUUGUCCAUAAGAGAGAAUGGAAAGGCUUUCUCUUCAUGCCACUAAUUUUCUUCUUUCAAAUGCUUGUUUGGAUCUUCCAUGGACAGCCCAUGGUAUUUGGGAAUGUGAUGCAGUAAACUAGACUUCAAUUCAAACUCAUCGGUCUUGCCUUGGGCUGUUAUAGGGUAUUGAAUGCAAAGGGGCACAACAUUGUCCAAUCCCAAGGCUGAAAGUUCCUUGAUUGUUUGAUUGUCAACAUUCAUGUCUUGCUUCUCUAGUACCUAAAAUCAAAGAAAGAGAACUAAAUCAAAUAUCAAAAGUAAAGUAAAAAAAAAAAACAGAUGGAUUAGCAAUUUUACUAAUCCCCGGCAACGACGCCAAAAUUUGAUGUGAAAUAUUCUAACACUCAAAUUAAAACCUUAUGAUUGUAGUAUAUGAAAGUUGGGAUCGUUUUAGGCCGAGGAUUAGAAGGGCUGCUAAUCUACACAAAUUAAACUCUAAAACACUAAACUAGACUCCAAAACACAAAACUAGACUCUUAUGACUCAAAACUGACUCAAACUACUUAAAACAACACAAAAAAAGCAAAAUGACUCCAAACUAACACUAAGGAUGACUUUGGACGAAAAUUGAUUUUAACUUGACUCGAAACACUUAAAAACACAAAUUGGACAGAUUCUAACUAACUUGACACAACAAAGUAAAGGGGAUUGUGUUUUUUAUGAAUUUAAAGUAAAACUAACAGAUUUAAGAAUCUAAAUAACUUUGGACGAAAUUGGUGAUUUAAUGGGUGAAUGGCUAGCUAAAGGGUUCUUCUCCACACAUGACACACUUGCAUACAAAUCGAUUUCUAGUUUCUUUCCCAAUAAACCAUGAACCUCAAUGCCCUAGAUUAACCGUGAACAACACUAAUUAACCCUCAAAUUUUCGUUAAGUCAUUGAAUUGGAUGGACAACGCAUCGGCAACUAAAUUAUUCUUCAAUACUUCCCUACAUGAACAACAUAAUAGAGAUACAAUUAAAGAUCAUUAAGCUUUGUGAAAAUCAUAAGCAUUGACAAGGCAUUCGUAACUAUGACAGCAUGAUACUCCUGCCAGGAAUUCACUUAACACGAUUGUGACUAGCAACCUUCACUACUUGUGAAUAUAAGUUUAUACCUAUUAGGUGAAAUUCCUUUAUAUUCUAGCAUCAAAUCCCUGCAUGCAAACUAAGUGUGCACCCUUAAUCAGCAAACAAGAAUAAGUUUUGAAUCAAACAGUUAAGUAAAUUGCAUUCACGAUUCAUGAAAUCACAACUGGAAGUAAUCAAUUCAUAUCGCAAAUAUGUUCAUGGCUUUGAAUUUCCCCUAGCUAAAACGAGUUUAGCUCCUCAUGUUUGCAAUUAAACAAAGACAAUUAAAUUUAAACAUUGAAAAAAAAAGAUAGAAUACACCUAGAAACAUUCCAACAAUCCAACGUCUUGAAUGGCAAGCACGGCUCCAGGGUCUCCUUUCCAUUCUCCUUGCAAAGAUGUGACAAUAGAGGGAUGAAUGUGUAUGAUGGAUGAAGGGGACGAAUUUGUGAUGGAAGGUGGUUAAUUUCUGAGUGUUGCGGCACUUUAUAUUUAUAGGGAGAAUGUAAGGCACGGCUAGGGUGAGUAGGAAGAGAAUUAGGAUUCCAAAUCAUCAAGGAAUAAGGAUACUUCUAAUCAGAUUCCAGGAAGGAAAAGAAUUAAUGUGUUUAGAUGGAUUUGGACUCCUAAAUUCUUAUGGGAAGGAUUUAGAAUAGGAUAAGGACUCCUUUUGCAGCUAGAGAUAAGGUAGGAUAAGAUUAGGAAAUGUUAAGAUAAUGUUAGUUUGGAUAAGGUUUUGGAUAAUGUUCGUUCUUUUUUUGCUGAUUCCUUAUCUUCUUUGACUUGAAUUCAUUCUUCCAAAUUUGUAGUACAUUCCUAGCCUAUUAAACUUCAAAAACGUCCAUCCACCUUGCUCCACUCAUGUGCUAUCCAUUCUUGUCCCAAAACUGCUCCAAAAUGGUCAAAAUUGCAGUUUCUUGCCAACUUUGUCAUUUGAAUAUGAAAACACACGAAAAUAGCAUAAAACACUAUAAUAAGUAAGAACUAACAACAUAAAUGCAAGAAAACAAGCUAACUAAGUCGCCUCCUAUCACGUUCAUGGUUGUGAGUGUGUAGCUACCCUUGUCGCCUACUCUACUGAUCUUGUAUGGACCUUCCUAGAUGGGAUCCAUCUUUUGGGGCCUUCUAUGCGGGCAGUGAUGAAGGCUUUUCGUAGGACUAGAUCUCCAGGCUAGAACUGCCAGGUCUUGGCCCUUUUAUUGUAGCUGGAGAGGAGCUGCUGGUGGUAAGUUAUGAUGCGAGUGAUGACCUUCUUGCAUUUCUCCUCUGCCAGAUCUAAGUUUGUGGCCAUCUAUUUUUUGUUUUGCUCAAUGCUUGGUAGUACAGUGCUGAUACUUAGCACGAUGACAUUGGUGGGAAUGAUUACUUCUGAACCAAAUAUCAAAGAGAAAUGAGUAUCAUCAGUUGCUCGUCGUUUGGUGGUGCGAUAUGCCCAUAUACAUCCGGGGAGUUCGUCUGGCCACUUUCCCUUCUUGUCGGUGAAGGAUUUCUUGAGGCAGUCGAGGAUCGUCUUAUUGGAUGCUUAGUCUUGGCCAUUGCCUUGAGGAUAUCUCAGCGUGGACAUGUGCUGGUUGAUACCAUACUUUUGGAAGAAUUUCGUGAAAUUUUUGCCCACGAAUUGUGGGCCAUUGUCGAUGAUGAUGGAUUGAGGGAUGCCAAAUCGACAAAUGAUGUUCCUCUACAUGAAGUGUUUUAUGUCCAUCUGAGUUGUGGUUAUCAUGGGCUUUGCUUUUACUUAUUUGGUGAAAUAAUCAGUUGCCACGAUCAUCAUGCCUUUGCCUCAAGUAGCAGGCAACAUUGGCCUUACCAGGUCGAUUACCCAUUGCAUGAACGGCUAAGGACUCGUUUGCGGGUAUAGUUCGCUGGCAGGCAGUGCUGGUACCGGCUUGUAACGUUGGCAACGGUCGUACUUUUGUACUAAUUCCUUAGCAUCUUGGUGCAUGGUAGGCUAAUAGUAACCUACGUUAAGGGCCUUUUGCACUAAGGAUUGGCCUCCGAAGUGAUUUCCACAAACAUCUUUGUGGAUUGAGCUUAGAACUUUUAGGUCAUCGGGAGGUGCUAGGCAGCGGAGACGUGGUCUAGUGUAGAAUUUUCGAAUGAGAAUGAUGUUCCACAUGUGGUCUAGUGUAGAAUUUUCGAAUGAGAAUGAUGUUCCACAUGUAGUAGCAUAUUGUCUUUAUUUGGAGCUUUCUAAACUCCAACUUUUUCGUGGGGAAUGUGCCAUUGACCAGGUAGUUUAUAAUAGAACUUUGCCAGUUAGGCGUUAUACUACCUUGUGACACUUCAGCUGCCGGUUCUGCCUCUAUGCUUGGCUUGUGUAGAUACUCCACCGGAAUAGAGGAUUUGAAUUGGUGAUCGAGGGUGGAGCUUAGGUUGACUAGCACAUCCGAGUGGGCGUUGUCUACCUGCGGAACAUGAGUGAGGGUGUAAGUAUGAAACACCUUAAGUUGUUUUCGUAAUGAAUUGCAAGCUUUUUUACUGCCAAGUCUUUUGCCAUUCGGAGGUCUGCUAGUAGGGCUUUUGUUGGAAAUGUGCCCUAAAACCAAUCAUAUGAUGAUACUUUACGGACAUUUCACAAGUUAAACUAAUGUAGUUUAAAUAUAAAGGGCAAAAAUUAUUGUUUUAAGCCGUCUCAUAUAAAUGUUAUAUGCUUAAACGAUAAGUCCAAGGAAUAUGUGAUUGGGAGAAUGCAAUCUAAAGAAGUUAGAUUCAUGAGACCAUUCUUUCGUAUACAUAUCCUAAACGUUCCUGAUCAUAGGAUUGCCAAUUGGGCAUUGACAGUCCGUUAAGAUCACUACGUGCUGUGUCUUCUCUCAGGGAGAGUGACUAGUCUCAAGUCAUUGGUGUGUGUGACAUCAAGACAAGUACGUAGGUGCUCAAUAGAGAAUGAGUUCACUGAACACGAUCAACGAAGAGUUCUCAUAUUCAUGUCACAUGAGAACUCAUGGUUGCGAUAAUGCAAAGUAGUCCUUUGACCUGAGGUAUCAUAGUUGUCUUGUGGUUAAGUCCUUGAUCUUUGAUUAUGUCAAAAGUCACUCCAAAAUGAGGGUGUCCAUGGCAUAGUUGGGGUUAAGCCACUUAGCCAUGGAGGCAAGUGAAUGCGCAACAAGGGAUCUCUAACCUUCAAACUAUUUGAGGGAGAAUACUCUAUGAUAUGAUUAAGAAUCUCUGGCCAGAGUAUGAAUGAGAUUUAGGAAGUCGUUCCAAAUCACAUUCAAGGUAAUCAUAUAAGCACACGAAUCACAUUGGAUAGUAGACAUGAAUAAACUAUCAAACCAAACAAUGUGGUUAAGAGUAUUGUAUUAGAGAAAGACCGUAUUGCAUUUGUAAUCCUAAACUGAAUAGGUUCUCCACCUCUUCUGAUUAGCUUGGGUAACCAUGAUAUGCUGCUGGGUGUCACUCAUGGUUGUGGAAGCCCUAAACGUGUAUAAUCACUAAAGGGAGAAUUGAAAGUAAGUUUCAAUUCAGAAUCGAUUUGAAAUGGUUUUAAUCGCCCACUGCCUUGCUAAAAGGAACCUAAUGGAUCGUACACCGUGUAAGGUGGAGAUUGAAGAAACAAUGGAGAUGAGUAAGAAUAAUUAAAUGGUUUAAUUGUUUAUGGCAAGGAUUAAUUAAUAUGUUAAUUAAUCAAACGAACAAGUUCGUUAAAAACCUCGGGAUAGUUUUGGACCUUAAGGCCCAAUGGGCUUCGAACGUCAAGCCCAUUGACUUAAGUUGUAUGACAAUUUAAUGAAUAAAGAUUCACAAGGGCCCAAAAGCCCAAAUCCCUUUUGUGGCCGGCCAUUUGAUAUGAAUUACGGUUUUUUGGUUCUUUAGGUCACUUAAAGAAGUGACUAUAUAAAGAACUUUAUAGCCAAAAUUCAUUAAGGGGUUUCUUUUUAAGAAAUUGGAGAGAACACAAAGCUCUCUUUUCUCUCUAAAGAAGCCGGCCCCCUUGGAGGGGAUUAGCUAGUAAUCUUUCUCCUCCAAGGUCACUCAUUUCUUCAUCAAUCUUACCUUGGUGUGGAGACUUAGAGGUUCUCAAUUUUGGGAACUUGGAGAACCAUUUCAUCCAUCCAAAUCCAUAGAUCUAAGAUGCAAGGAAUGAAGGCCCUCUCUUUGGGUGAUUAGCCUUUGCUUAUGCAAAGAGGAAUCUACAAAGGUAUAAUUUCUCAACUCACUUUGUUUUGAGUUGAGUCUUGGUUCACCAAUCUACUAGGCUUUGAAUUUCUUGGGUAAUGUUUUGUUUUUGAGUGCAUGCAAGCAUGAUUCCGCCUUUAAUUGUUAAUUGCAUGCUACAUGAUGUUGCUCAAAUGAACAUGUUUUCACAAAAUCAUCCCUUCAAGUGGUAUCAGAGCCUAGGUCUAGUAGUUGGUGAAUCCUUUUGGGUUUUGUAGUUCAUAGUUUGUGAUUUAAAGUUGUAAUAUGUUACAAGCUUUAUUCUUGUUUCUUUGAAUGUAAAUUUUGUUAGAAAAUUUGCCAUCUCAAAUGUUGUAGAUGUAGUUCUUAUGAGCAUGAAUAUUGGAGCUAAAAUUUGGUGCCAUGCUUUUGGGAAAAUUCGGCCAAAUCCAAAGGGUGGAUUUUUGGGUUCUUGUUUGACUUGUUAAAAGUGUUUUCAAGUGACUUUUGGAACCCCUAUGUACCCUAGUAUGGUUAUAUGUUAUUUCCCUUAAGUUUGAGUGGUUUUGGGAUUUCUUUGGAUGAGAAAUGUUCAUGGAGCUCUUAUGGGUUUUUCAUGAAUGUUCUUCAUUGUUCUUGACAUUUUAGCCAAGAACAAAAAGUUUGGUGUUUUGAUUCAAAGUUUUGAUUCAAAGUUUUGAUUUAUUUCAUAAAGUCUUUGUUUUGUGCUUUAUCAAAUGUUUUAAUGUGAUUGAAAUUGUGUAAGGUGAUAGAAAUGGUGAUGGGUGUGUAAGAAGUUCUUCUCUUACACACACAUCACUUGCAUGAAUUUAUGUCACAAACCACUUGCAAGGCUUUAUGACUUAGUUGAAAAAAAUUCCAAAUUUUGUGGCUUCAAUUUUUUCCCUCCCUCUCUCCUAAAACCGGCCACCCUAUUAAAAUAGGGUAAUUUUGGGGCUUUUAUGCAAUUACAUAAAGUUUUGAUACUUUUGUGUUUUUGCACUUUGACCCAAAAGUUUACAUAUUUACGUAAAGGCCCAAAAUCAUUAAAGGACAAAUUGUUUUGUUCCUUUAAUGAAGUUUUUGAAUUUGUUGAAAUUUUUGGGUUCUAGUUGUAAUUACAUGAAGUAGUGAACUUUUGUGUUUUUACAAAGUGAGCUCAAAAGUUUAAGUUUUGCAACAUAGCCCAAAGGUUGAGGUUAUUGCAUUUUGGCCCAAAUUAGGUUGAGAACAAAAUGGUUUUGUCUCUUUAAAUGAGAAUUGGAUUUUCAUUUCAUUUAGCUCCAUUUAAAUCAAUUUUAUGGAUACAAAAACCAAAUGAAAAUGUUGCAUUCAAUUUAAUUAGUUAAAGCGUUAAUUGUUAAAGGGUGAUUAUGAACCUAAGCCUACGAUAAUUGAGCUAUAUGAAAGGCCGUUUCAAAUUUGUUUGAACCAUGGGAAUGUGUAGAUUAGAUUUUGGUUGUAAUUUGAUUUGAUCAAAUGUUGUAAAAGAGAUUAAGCUCUUCUUUACUUUAAAGUAAUUUGAAUCAUUCAAAUGUUGUAAAGAGCAUAAGCUCAUCUUUACUUUGAAGUACUUCUUUCUUGCUUUAUUUGAUAUGCAAGAAAUUGGAGUAGUUGGGUCCAACGCCCCUAGGAACAACACGCCUUAAUGUGAUUAAACGCGUAACUAAAAUCAAUCACCAUCCCUAGACCGAGAUUCAACACUAGGCUCAUGUUGAAUCUAAACAAAGGUUCAUAGUCAUCCUAAGGCCCUAAGACAACUAUAUAGUCCAUCAAAUGAAUGCAAAGUUUAUGUUAGUAGUAUCAUAUACUCUUGCUUUAAAAACCAUUUUAUAAGCAUAGUGGGAGUAUUAUAUACAACUAAAACAAUCAAAUGGACCAAUAGUUGUAAUAGGACCAAAAUUGUUUUAAUAAAGAUUAAAAUGAAUAUUUAUAUGUGAUGACACCUAAAAACCCUCAACCAAACCAUUAUUAAGUUGAUAAGCGUGAGAGUGCUUUGAACACUCUUUC